UGCUCCCGCCGCGUCCGCCACCUGGGCGUCCUCUCCGCCUCCGCCUCCGCCUCCGUCCCCUCCUCGCCGCCGGGUCCGCGCUUGCGCUUGCGGUCCCUCUCGUCCGCCGCCGCGGCGGCCGUAGUGGAGGUGGAGGGCGCCAUCGCGGCCGGCCGGAAGCGGGGAGCGCGAGCUGGCUCUGCUGCUGGUGCGCGCGCGCGCUCUGUGCGCUAGCGGAUGGACGACGGCUGGCCUUGCGAGUCAGAUUGCAGGGGCUGGGUGGGAGGGAGCUGCGCUGCCGGGAUAUAUAUAUAAAGCGAGGGGAGCGGACGGGGUUAUAACUCGCGGGCAAGAUUCCGGUGUUUUUUAUCACCGGAUGGAUGGAUGGAUGGGUGUACUCUUACUCUGCUUCCAUUUGUUUUGUUGUUUUCUUGUCUUUGCUUUGCAUGGGUGAAACCAGAGCCUUUGACGCAGGCGACGUGUACACCUUCAUUUCAUUUCAUUUUAACUGUUCUUGUCAUGGUCAUGCCGAGGACAAGUGCUGGUAGGCGUACGUUGACGGGGGCUUGCCGUGGUGUUCCUCGCCGGUGGGGUGGGGUGGUGACGGCAGAGGGCCGUACGUGAGCGAGCGAGGGAUAGAGUCCAGCGCGGCGGUGGACAUGAUUAGGCAUAGGCAUAGCUUUCCUGCAUGCCAUGUUCGGUUGCCUCGUGGGCGCUGCUUAACAUGGUGCCAGGGGUGCUCACAUGCGCAUGCGCCACCUCCUCCCUCGUGUAGGCACGCACGCACGCCCACGCACAUUCUGCUCCGCCACCUACCUCCGCAUACGAAUCGUCCCAUCAUACGGUGCAGCACCUACGCUUAUACGGUGGUAGUAGUCCUGUGGUACGUAGUACACCGGUGAAAGCUGCACCGCAAAAACAAAAGCGGAUGCUUUCCGCCAAAAAGUAGCAACGCACUACUACUCCCUUCGUCCCAAAUUAUUUAUCUUAUAAAUAAAUAAAAAUAAAUAUAUUUAAAAUUAAAAUACAUUUAUAUACAUUUAUUCUAAUUAUAAAUAUUAUCCAAGGGAGGAGUAAUUUUUUGAGGAAAAGCUCGUGCCUUCCGAAAGAAAAUAAGCCGCCAUGCUUAUCAAUGAUGUAGUAAAACAUAGAGCUUUCUUACGGUACCUUAUGCUGUUAUUGAAGAGGAGCAGUAUAAGCCUCAUCUAACCGUUGAUUUUUAAAGUAUUAUGGACUUGUUCAAAGGACAAUUAGGUCAAUGGUUCUAACUUCUCUCGUAACCAUAAAGGAAGAUUGAUUCUCCGCCUCUGCACCGCUCAGCGACGUGAGAUGAUUGGCGCAGCCGUCCGUCGCCACUGCGUUCGUCGGGACUAUGACGCCCUCCGUAGCUUGACGUGAAACAUCUAUUACACUGGAUGUUCGAGCGCUCGCAUGCGACGCCAUCUAAAUGGAGGAAAUUACGUCCCCUGUCCAAUUAGGGUCUAGGGAUCUUAGUGUAGAAUUCAAAGCAAGGUCUCGUUCUUCUGAUGAAAAAUGAAAUUGCGGACCAAACUAAGUAAAUUAAAUGUUAAUUUGGUCCAGCAUGGACCAGUCUUAUCUGACAAUUUUGCCCUUGCGGAUCGGUAUACUUCUCACGAUUUUGACCCCUCUUAUUUGUGCACUGCUCGUUAAUCUAAGCAGUAUAAGUGGAUCUACACCACUUGAUUAAGGAGAAUGGACGGCUCUGGUUCAUUAGAGGGUGGCGUAAAAGAGCUCAAAACAUAACUCAGCGAUAGUUAAUAUGGAUCCCCUAAAUCAAAUGACGGUUCAGUCAGUUUGCAAAACUAAAAUGAUAGUGGUUCAGUCACCGUGCAACAAUGAAUGCACUUUCCUUGCACAAUAUUUUGUUGUUGUAAACUUUACAAAUUCAACGUUAGAUUUUUAGCAUUUGCCAGCGAACAUCCAGAUUUGUCAUGCAAAGACAAAUGAAUCUGGCAUGCUGGUGUUAAAUUUUAAAGUGAAAAUUGCCAUGGGCUGCAAAAAAUUAUCAAAAAAAUUGUCAUGUUACAACAAAUAAUUAUUCAAACGGGAUCUAACUUAGCUCAGGUAGUCACAUUUCUAGAGCUAAAAUCUGAUCUCACAUGUAUAUUGGGGUUCAAAAAAAGUUAGUGAUUUUUUCUUUGAGCCCUUCACCUUCCGGGGAUUAUGGGGUUGGCAAGUACCGACCGGCGGAACCAUAGAAGAUGAAGGAGAGUGCCAACAAGAUUCCACUUAUUCUAGAUUUAAAGCAGUUUGGAACGAGAUGCGCCGACCAUGAUAUUUGGAGUUCCGAGUAGGUGAUCACGCUUGACUUCGGCUUGAACCUACAAAGGAUGUGAUGCGUUGUUGAGUGAAGGAUUAGGUAUAGCUGACCGAUACAUUGGACCUUUCUUGGCCCAUAUCCCCCUCGCCCUUAAUCUCUUGUUUUGGUGGUUGGUCUCUACCUUUUUUCGUUUCUUGGCUAGUUUGUCUUCCUCUUCUAUUUGAGGGUAACGUACUAAAAGUCCUUUAUUUCACGGGAUUUUCUUUUUCUUUUCAAAUGAAUUUAUGCUUAAUCUAAAUUUAGUAAAUACCAAAUAAGUAAUAAUAAUAAUUAUUAUUGUUAUUAUUAAAAAUAUGUAUCAGUUUCCUGAAACUAACAAGUAGAGUUAUAGCUUUUAUUGACUUACUAGCUUACGGGAACGCCUUAAAUCUCAACUUACUUUGAACGACUGCUUCCCACAUGCAUUGCUGGAAAGAAGAGUGAGCCGGGGCAGAACUUGAAGCACGGGAGAAGGAAAAAAAGAAGUACACAAGGGGUUUGUAGUUGGUAUAUGUACGGUAUAGACCUUUCUUUGUGAAUAGCUAGCUCACUUGCAAGGGUGUAUACAAAGGUCUGCUUAUAUGUUCAAAAAGCCUGUAUAGAUAGCCUAGAUAGCCAAGAAGAUAUACGUAUUUCAUAGAGAUAGCGAAUAAAGUUUUUGUUAAUUUCAAAUAGGCCAUUGAAUGCAACGGCUAAUAAAGAAGACGAAAGUGCCAGAGCUAAGAGCUAAUAUAUUCUCAGUCUAAGCAUGGAUAAAGGAAUGAUAAGAAGACAAAAUCUUUCUUGGGGAUUCCGGUAUUCUAUGACUCUUUUCCAGACUAAUUCACAAUUUUUUUGCUUUGACAAUUCAAAAGUUUGUGAAGGUUUUUUACCAAGAAAUUUAUUCAUCUUUUUCUUAAAGCGAUGGACUGCUAAUGUCUCAUAAGGUCCUCCAAGAGUUUUUUUACAACUGGUUGAACUAUUUCGAUAGAUCCUUUCAUUUCAUCAAGUCGCACAAAAUAGCGGGCUAACGAAUGGGGCCGGGUUUUGGGGACAUGGUUCUAGGUGCACAGCCUAAAGCAUUUUAAUAUUCCAUAUACUGUAAGAAAUCAAACAAUUCAACUUUUUGUGUGGCGAACAUGAGUGUUCUACUCGGAUGCGAAGUUUGGCGAAGAAAUGGCUUCCGUGUUCUUCUGAUAUUUUCGUGAUAUCAAAAAACUUGAUUUGUAACUUUAAUGUAGAACCAUUUUUUUUCACAAAGAAGGCUACAUAAGUCGUUUCUUCUCGAAAUUUUAGACACGAUUUUUGCAGCAUAACCUGUUCGUUACAGAUAUAUUUCAGAAUUGUUAGACCUUUUUGUUAUUUUUAAAAUAUUUUUCAAUGUGGAUACGCCAAGACCCAGGUUCCUUAUUAUUGCUAGCAAAUCCCCUUCCUUUUGCCAUUGGACGUCUUCAUGAGAUUUUCCCUGCUUUCAUCUGUUUUCUUUGAGAGAAAGUUACUGCUUUCUGCCCAAAAAAAGUAAUAGUAAUGCACUUGUAAUAAUAAGGAUAAGGCCCUUAAACAAGAACAAGGUUUUUCUUUUAGAGAGAAAACAAGAACAAGGUUGAGGUCAAAAGGAGAGUAGAGGAGAGCUCCUGUUUGGCGACAGUGUGGAGUAGGUGAACCAGAUCAUGGUUCACCCGCAGCUACCAAUUCUGAAACGAUUCUUCUUCUACUACUGAUUUCGACACGUUGUAGUUGGGUGGAGAUAAACAUGAUUAAUAGUAUAAUUAACCCAAGUGCCGGACGGUUGCUUGCUUGGACUGGCUUACCAUUUGACGCAGUACCUAACCUGAGGGAUAGAAAAGUUAAGCGCUGCAUCAGUGCCGACGCACGCGGCGGCGGCAGGAGCAUCACGUUCCAUGUCGCGUGGCCUGCCCAGUGCUCACGCACGAGCGCGAGCGCGAGCACGAGCACGAGCACGAGCAGUCUCGCUGGCUGCAUAUGGCCACAUGCACAUGCACAUGCAGGCUCUCCGCUGGAAAUUACAGCGAGUUCAGAGACGUUCACGGGCCAUGAACAUGAAGCAUGCUGGCGAUUUCUGCCACGUAAAGAUGCAUGUGGGCGCUGGGAUUUGUGAAUCGGCAAUGGCAGCCGAGGAAUGUAAACGCGCGCAUGCAUGCAUGCAGGCCGGGAGCACGGGCCAAAUCCGGACAGUGGAACUAACUGUAUGCAUGUCAUGGCGAUGCCUCACUCUGCUAGCCUGCUUUGGCCGCUGCAGGGUUCCCAGGCCGCUCAGAAUGUGGCAGCCUGAGCCCUGAAUCAGUGCGUGCGCGCGUGCAUGCAUGCUCUCGUGUGCCCUGCGAGAUGCCACGCCAGGACGUGAAUGCAUCAAUCCUGUGUGCAUCGUACGGGCAUUUGCUAUGCCAGUACGCCUCAGAGUGCUCUCUGCCAAACCUCCAGGCUCACUUCUGAGCUCUGACGGACGGCUUAAAUUGGAGGAGAAUCUAGCCUGCCGCCACCUCCCAGAAAUCGCCGUUAUCUUAUCCAUCGAUCUUUUCCCCUUUUACAUACGCGUCCGUCCCCGGCCAGUGAUAAUCGAUCGUCUCCACGACGCCUGGCCCCGGGCCAUGCGGACGCACAGCAGGCCCGGCGAGCGUGCGCCGACCAAUCCUUGGCUAACGGUUUCGCUGUGCGGGAUCGGCCUCCGGCUCCGGCGCCGGCGCCGUCUGCUGCCGGUGGUGGUGGAGCCUGGCAUCCUGUGGCAUGCGCGGUGGCCUAUGAUGGAUGCUCCGGCGCGUGGGCGGCCACGGGCGGAAAGCCUGGAAUGCUGGGCAUUUUUCUACUACUACCACGGAUCAGGAGGCCGGUCUGCUCGGGCACAUGGCCGGCCGCCCCGAUUCAGCACGAGCACAUGAAAUGAAUCCUCCUGUUCUCAGCCGCGUCACGGUCGACUCCAUAGUGCCACGACGGGCUUGCCUUUCCCCGUCGACCAUGGCCGCCGAAUCGAAGGUGCAGACUGUUGCUAGAUGUUGGGGCUUGUAUAAUAAAGCAACAGGAUGCGGGAGCACAAGGUCUGCAUCCGCGUAAUGUGUGAUGAGGGCGAGCACAUGCCAGGCGAGCCGAGCUGAGCGAUUAAUCUAUCUUGGUUCGGUCGCUCCAGAUUGGAUCCUCGGUGCAGGCAUGUGCGAGGCAAUCACAUUUUCCGAACUGGGCUCCUCCCCUUUCCAUUACGUUCAUAACGAAAAUACAAUGUUUUUCCAACCAGAAACAUAUUGAAGGGAAAGGAAAGAAGCGGGCUCGUGACAAUACCAGGAAACCCGUCAUCUAUGCCUGUCAUCAUCAGGCAUGUGCGAGGCAAUCACAUGGGCCGAUAAUGGUAGUGUUUUUUUUUUUCCUUUGGUUAUAAGCUGGGCGUGACAUUUGGCGGCGCAAAAGUCAAGAGCAGAGCAGAUAGGAGCGCGUCGUUGGUUGGUGCGUACACAUGCAGGCCACUACACUGCAUCUGCAAUGCUGCCGGGAUUAUACUACUAACAACUGAAACAAUCAGGCAGGCAGUCAUGGAGCCGGUCGGUCAGGUAUCUUAUGAUUUGGACCGAGGGAUUUGGUUGCAUGCAUGUCAACCGUGACGUGUGUAUGGAUCCAAUUCCAUAUCCAAUGCAUCGCUCAACAACCAACGGAAUUGCAAGCAGUGUGAUGAUACUGUUGGGACAGAAGCUGGACGCGUGGAUCCACGGUACGUCGGUGUUUCUUGCCAGUUUCCUCUCCUGUAAGAGACGGAUGGCAGCUUCAACAAAGAAACUUUAACAGGUGGAUGGGGGUAUAUCAUACGGGACCAUGAAAGGGAUGUCGUGGUUGCUGCUGCGGGACGGCUGGAUCAUGUCAAUGAUGCGCAUCCAUGCUAUCCACAAGGCACAAGAGCUGGGCAUUGGCAACACAGUGGUAGAAACAGAUGCUCUUCUGCUUGUCUCGGCGAUCAAGACCUCUAGCUAUGAUCUUGCACCAAACGGUGCUCUGUUUAAGGAGAUCAAAGCUUUCUCUUCUCUAAAUUUUAUUUCUUUCGACAUUGUUCAUCGUCCACGGGUAUGUAAUAAGGUUGCAGACGUUCUUGCGCUGCAUGGGUCGAAGAUGGUGCUUGCGCCCCAAGCCGUAUGGCCGGGUCUUGCUCCUACCUUUGCCUAAGUUCUCGUUGCCAGCGAUUCUGCUUGACGCGGUGAUGAAUGGAAUGAAAUAUUCCCAGUUAAAAAAAAAGAGAUGGAGCGGGUUUUUUUUUAACGGCGUGGUUGAAUUAUUUGAAGGAGCGACUGAAAAUCUGCGUUGAUCUCAAAGUGAAGACGCUCGAUGACGAGUGAAAGCAUUACGUCAUAGCAGGGUACAAAAAUAAUUCUAAGCAAAAUCAUAGGUAAUUCUUAUUUGACACUCAUUGCAUCAAACUUUCGCCAAAACGCACUGUAAAUGCGCGGCCCGAUUAGUUGUACCAUAAUUUAUAGGUAUCCAGUUUUAGAAACCUUCUAAAAUGUUUCUUCACCUGUCUGUACCGGCUCUCUUUCGGAUUCUAUCCAUUCUUUAUUUCUGCUAUUUUAUUUAAAAAAUAUUCAAAGCUUAAAGAAAAUUAUUCAAAAAUUCAAACUAUUUAUAUACGUUCAAUAUAUCAAAGAAUGUUCUCAAUGUUUUAAAAUGUUCAUGUUCAGAUUUUUUUUUUUAAAUCACAGUUCAGACAAAUGUUCAAAUAUGAUAGUCUGGUACCAAAAACCUUUUUUUUUUGUGAAUCAUAGUGCCAGUUGUUGGCCUGAACUUUUUUUUAGUUUAGCUCUUUUUAGGUAACGUAGAAUUCAUUUUUUUAAAACUCCACAACUUCAUUAAACAUCUAAAAUGUCUUGAAUAACACGGUUGAGUUAUCUGAAGGAGCGAACGAAAAAAUCUGUCAGUUGUUGAUCUUAAAAUGAAGACAUUGGAUGACGAGUGAAAACAUACGUCGUCGUAUGAUAAUUCCUAUUUAACACUUGUUGCAUCAAACCUUCACCAAAGCGCACAGAGCAGAGAGAGCGAACAAGGUAAGUGGACUGCUCAAUUUGUUUUACACACAGUACGAACGCUCAUAUAUACGCACAUAUACUCAACAUUAAUGUACAUUCGAAAGACGGAGAUGACACAUCACUUUAAGAUUGACGAAAUCGCCCAGAAGCCUUUCCAUAAAUUUAGUUGUGCCAUAAUUUAUAGGGUUCCAGUUUCAGAAACCUUCUAAAAUGUUUCGCUUUUGCUUAUUUGCCUUUGGCUCUUUGCAAUUGUUAUAUUUACUGGUUUGUACCGACUUUUUUCAUUGUUUUGUUUUCUGUUAUUUUCCUUAAAAAAACUUCAAAACUUACAAAUAACUGUUCAAAAAUCCAAUAUAUAUAUGUAUUUUCUUUAAAUUUCCAAAGCUUCAAAAAAUAUUUGUGUUUUUCAAAAAAUAUUUGAAAAUAGGAAAAAAAUGUUCAUGUCCACAUUUUUUUAAAAAUGUUCAAAAUAAAAAAAAAACAAAUAUGAGAAUCGGGAACAUGUAACCAUUUUUUAGGAAUCACCGUGUCAGUUGUUGGUCUGAACCCUUUUUGUAAGAUCUAGCUUUUUCUAGAUAUCGAAGAAUUCAGAUUUAUCUUAUAACUCCACGUUUAUUAAACAUCUAAAACGUCUGUUACAUGAAUUAAAGAAGAAAGCCGAAUAUGUGCACCAACUGCUAGAGUAACUGCAGCUCUGGUUAUUCAUGUGCUCCGAAGUUUGUCUCCUGUGCUUCAUGCGCAAUUUGUGAAGUUGCAAACUGAUGCCACCUUGCUUGGAUAUCCUUAGCGAUCAUGGAUGACGAUCCCAGAAACGGUUCCCUAAGAUGAUUCACUAUAGCUAAACAGUAUGUUGCAACUCUGAACUCUUGAACAGCAUGCAUGCGUCUCCAAGAUUUCAUUAUCCCAGAGGUCCGUUGAAGAUAGAACUCGAGCACAUAGGGGCGCGUCGUCAUACACAUGCAGACCACUACACUACAUCUGCAAUGCUGGGAGCAAAUAAAAAUAAAAAAUACUAGUAUAAUUGAAUCAAUCAGGUAUCUUAUGAUUUAGACCAAGGGAUUUGGUUGCAUGCAUGUCAACUGUCAUAUGUAUGGAUCCAUAUCCAAUGCAUCGCCCAACAACCAACGGUGUAGCAAGCAAUAUGAUAUGGUAAUGUUACAAAUCUGAAGUCAGAUUCUUAAGCGUGACAAAUCGAAUGUUUUCAUUUUUAAAUUUUGUUGACGUGACUACGUGAGGAUACGAAAUUUAGUUUAGGAGCAAGACAAUUUUCCGACAGAAAAAUAAACUGAGAUAGAUUUGCCACGUUUGCCAACUAAAUUUUCUAUCCUCAACAAACACAAAUUGCCAUAAAAAAAAUUCAAUUUGUGAUGGUCAAAAAUCAAACAUCAGAUAUGUAGUGGAGUCCAUAUGAUACUGUUCGGACAGAAGCUCGAUCGACGAUACAACGAUGUAGUGCCGGAGCAUGUGUCCUCUCAUGCUAGGGACACAUGGGUUGAACUGCUUGGAGCCAAUCAUCGUGUCAGUUGUUGGGUUUAGCUUUAUUUAGGUAUCAUAGAAUUUAGCUUGGCUACAGUGCUUCGCUAAUUUCGUUGGCGGCUCGAAUCAACGGCAUGGAAAGAAGAGUGCUCCUAUAUGAUGCUUACUGCAUCAUAUAUAUAGUUGCACUGACGCACAGGCACACGGCAUAGACCGGCGACCUAGUUCAGGUACGGUGAUAUUUCUUGCUGAAUGUGUUUACGGGAGUGCCCAGUCCAUGGGUACCCUCUCAUCUGGCUUCCAAGUGGACACUCCUGAGGCACGCGGGAGUGUUUGUGGCGCCACAUGUUGCGUUUUAACGUUGUUAAUCUAGUUUAUGUUUCCCUAGGUUUUAUAUUUUCCUGUUUCUGCUCUUUUUUAUUAUUAUUCUUUUUUCGUUUGUGCUUUUCCAUCGGAAGCAUAUUCGCGCUCACGUGUUUUUUACUCCCUCCGUUCCUAAAUAUAAGUACAUCUCCUCUGAAGUGUACCACUCCUCUUAAGGAAAUAUUUGUACCAGAGGGACACACGGAGAAAGGUAAGGUUGUGAGUGGAUCGGCCACUAGGGGUCCGUCUGCUCACAACAAGACAACCGAAUUCAUGCCGCCAUCCUAUGUACUACGCAAAUCAAAGGAAGGAAAGGUCUAUGCUAAAUUCGUUGGUCCCCGUAAUGCAUUUCGAUUCUAUGCUAUUUGGGUCCCUAAGACUCUUGUAACUAAUGUGAAAGGCUCCAUGACAAAAUGGGUACCUCAAACCAAGUCUUAAUUCUUUACAGGCUAUUUUCUCCGGUGGAGCAAAAUGGGUGAUCGACAGUGGAUGCACCAAUCAUAUGACCGGAGAUAGUAACUUGCUCUAUGACUUCAUGCAAGCCAUUCGACCAUACAUGAGCAUUGUAUUUGGUGGAGGGUCGAAAGGGCAGGUAAUUGGGUUGGGCAAGGUGGCAAUCACUAAUGACAUGUCUAUUGCAAAUGUCAUGCUUGUUCAAUAUCUUCAACAUCAUUUACUUUCAGUUCGCCAAUUGGCUUCCGUCGGUUAUGACACACUAUUUGGACUAACGGAUGUGAAAGUCUUUAAGAGAGACACUCUUGAAGUGGCUUUUGUUGGAGAGUUGGAUAGCAACCUUUACACGGUUGAUUUCUCGAAAGAGAGCACUUUCCAUACAACUUGUCUAAUGGCCAAGGCCGACAUGGGAUGGUUGUGGCAUCGCCGGCUCGCCCAUGUUGGCAUAAAAAUCUUCAAAAUCUCUUAAACGGUAAUCACAUCCUUGGACUAACAAAUGUAUCUUUUAAGAAAGAUCGUGUGUGCAGUGCAUGCAUAGCUGGGAAGCAACAUCAAUCAAGACAUCCACUCAAGAACGUUGUAUCCACUUCAAGGCCGUUAGAGCUCCUUCAUGUGGAUCUAUUCGGGCCUCCUUCAUGGGCAAGUCUUGGAGGGAAAAAGUAUAGCCUAGUCAUUGUUGAUGAUUACUCAAGAUAUACAUGGGUGUUCUUUCUCAAGUCCAAGGACGAGACAAAGGUCACUUUCAUUGAUUUUGCUAAACAAGCCCAGCGGAAGUUUGACAAGGACAUUAAGGCAGUAAGAAGUGAUAAUGGCUCUGAGUUCAAGAACUACACCAUAGAAGAAUUUCUGAGUGAUGAGGGGAUUGAACAUCAGUACUCCGCACCCUACACUCCCCAACAAAAUGGUGUGGCAGAAAGGAAGAACCGGACACUUGUGGAAAUGGCAAGGUCCAUGUUAGAUGAAUACAAGUCACCACAUAGCUUUUGGGCUGAGGCCGUCAACACAGCAUGUCAUGCAUCAAACCGGCUCUUCCUCCGAUCAAUAUUGGAGAAAACUCCGUAUGAGCUCCUAACUAGGAACAAGCCCAAUGUUAAGUACUUUCGUGUGUUUGGAUGCAAAUGCUUCAUCCUCAACAAACGGGAACGGUUAGGCAAAUUUCAAUCCAAAACAACUGAGGGGAUUUUUGUUGGCUAUGGAUCAAACUCUCACGCCUACAGAGUCUACAACAAAUCCACUGGAUGUGUUAUAGAAACUUGUGACGUGACGUUUGAUGAAUUUAACCGCUCCCAUGGGGAGCAAGUUGAUCUAAAUGAUGCAGGUGAAGAAGACUCCCCACAAGAUAUCUUAAACAUGGGUGUAGGUGCACUUUUGCCUANNNNNNNNNNNNNNNNNNNNNNNNNNNNNNNNNNNNNNNNNNNNNNNNNNNNNNNNNNNNNNNNNNNNNNNNNNNNNNNNNNNNNNNNNNNNNNNNNNNNUGUCUCUCUCGGAGUUUCGGUUAUUCCUAACCCUAACUCUCUACUUGUGUUAAUCCUUAUUACAUACUUGUAUUUGCUUAUUGUUUACCGCUUGCCUUGCUUCACUCCUAAUAGCUUACUCUUUGUCAUAGCAAUUAUUAGGCUUACACUUAUAUUCCGCACUUUAGCCUAAAAUUGCUAAGUAAUUGUUAAAAUUUGGAUUUGUACCUAUUCACCCCCCCUCUAGGUCCAUCUCGAUCCUUUUCACUAUGGCUCUGGGCGGCCUUGACCGUGCGGUGGUCCACUCGUCGUGCGGUAAAGAGCUGCGCCAACCAUAGGGAUGACGAUGGUGGGUAUUUCCGUGAGGAAUUGGCAACCGUAGGAAGAGAAAUCAUAUCUCUUUGGUGAUUUCGCAAACCAGCCCUUGGGUUGUGCAUGAAUCACGUAAAAGUCCUAGCACUUUUUGAGUUAGCCCUCACGCUUAUCUAAAUUUGCUGCUAAGCCUCUGGCUUAUUGAAAAUUACAAAUGAGCCAUCAGGCUCAUGGGACUUUGAGGUUUAGCCCUCAGGCUUGCUUUCUUCAACAUUAUAACCAUAAGGUUAUUGGUAUUUGUGUUUUAUGCCCCGAGCAUUCAGAGCAAAUAUACAUGGUAGACUACAAGGUCUUGCUGAAUUGCAUAAUAAUUGGUUAUGCAUCAUUUUACAUCGUCUAAAAUGACGGUUUGAGGCCCCAAGUCCUCAUAUGUGUUGCACAUGUAUGUUAAUACUUUUGCAUUUAUUUGUAUUACAUUAGUAAUACUGUUGCAAAGCAAUAUGUUGACUACAUUAUUCACAUAGAAUAUGGAAUUUGCUUGCAAAUUUGGGGAACAUAAGAUAGUCAAGUGUAUGAUACUGUCUGACUAUGUCAAAUGUACACUUGUCACAAUAAAUUGACAAAUAGUACCCACUGCUUAAUUGUAAAUUAUUCAAUGUUAUUGUGAGGUCUAUAUUAUGUCGUUUCGACAUAAUGACCACCUUCAAUUUUUGCACACAACUUAUGGAUUGUUUUAUGGCAACGAAUUAACUUUCGUUCACAACUGUGAGGUCUACACCACCAUGUGGUGAUUACCUUCAAUGAGUUUUAACUAACAUAAGGUUGUGAGAAGCUCCAUAAGAUUGACGUCUACACUACUCAGUAGUGAUUAUCUCCAUGUGUUCAAAGCAAAGUGAAGGCACAAAACUGAUGACAUAGUCAUUAUGAGGCCUACACCAUUGUUGUAUACCUUCAUGAUGUUUUUCCAAAUAAUAGUCAAGUUCAUAGAAUUUCUCAUUGGUUGUGACUAUAGUGUCACAUACUCCAUCUGGAGAAGAAUCCAAUGCAUUAGUGGCGAUUAUGCUACAUGUUGUGCUAUGAAUGAAGAGAGUUAUGCAAAAUAUUUGCAUAUUUUGGUGAUUACCUUCUAUGAGUACACAACUUAUGAGAUGUGAUCAUACCAACGAAUUAAAUUUCGUGCACAACUGAGAGGUUUAUGCCAUUUCAUGGUAAUUACCUUCAUGUGUUUUAAAUAACAUAAGGUUGUGUAGAGGCUAUGAUUGACUAAAAUAUCCAUAAGAGUGAGGCACCACUACGUGGUUGAUUACCUUUGUGUUUUAUGGAAUUAAAGAUUUAUUCUUUAUGAGGUGACUAUACCUUCAAUUUGAAGAACUACAUCAUAGUGUGAUGAUUAUCUUCUUGUGAAGGCUUACUCAUGAAUCACUGAGAAUCACCAUGAUCAUGAUUAUGCUUAGUCAUAGCAUUUUCAUUGUACUUAAUUUACUAAAGGUAAAUUAAUGCAUGAGCAUUCAUGCAAUAUAUGGCGAACCUUUUUCGAAAGGAAAUGCGAUGUGAUGACAUAAGGUGGAAGUAACUAUUGAAAAUGGGUCAUGGACAUUAAUGAUUUUGUCGACCCGUGGCCUUGUCACCAUAGAAAUUCCACCUACACAGAAUGUCAUGGCUAUUUAUAAAUAGCUGAAAGGCGCAGAUUUGCAUUUAUGUGACAUCGCAAUGUCUCGGUUCUGAAACUGAGUAUUUAAAUGGAUGAUGAAUAUCCAUUUGCCCUUCGGGACUACCUUAGGGAGAGAGAUAUUGUGAUAAGCAUCACAUGAAUGACUAUUCAUUUAUGUUCAAGACUUGAAGUCCGUUGAUGCUUAUAAUUCUGUUGUCUAUAAAUCAACACUAAGUUGAGAUUAUGUGAUAAGGCAGUCUCAGAUCUUGAUCUGAUUGUAUGUCCUUACUGCACUUUACAUCCCCCUAUGAUGGUAAAAUAAACACCAUCUUCAUUUCAGGGGUAAAAAUAUGAUGACCUUCUUGUGAAGAAUCAUCUGGUACACCCCAAUGGGUGCUAUAUCAUUACCUGAAAUUUGUGCUAGUGCUUUCAGUACUAAGAAAUAUGUGGUUAGAGAACCACGAGGAGUUGAAAGUGAAGUGGAAAAAAGAGACAAGCAGAAAUGGAGUGUAUAUCUCACAAAGGCAUGUGUCAUUUAGAUAAAUGAUCACAAUGAAAACUCCCAAUUUUGUCAAAGGGGUGAUUGUAUGAAAUAUCGUAUUAAUGAUUACCAAACUUUUAAGUUUUUGGUUGAAUCAUGUCACUGACUCAUUGGAGAAGGCGAAUGAAUUUAAUGGGAUAAGUUUGAACUUCUAUUUCAAAUGGACAACCAGAAAAUAUUCUGAUGCAGUAGAAGGAGAAUGCACUCCUCUACAUUGAUGAUAUGCUUGUGGAAUGACAUUCCCAAGAUAUUUUGGAGAUCUUAUGUAGUCUCCUAGUUAUCCCAAUAUAUCAUUAGCCCAUAAUUGUACUACUACAGGUGGUAUAAUUUGCAACAUCUUGUCCACGGGACAUGAUAGUUGUGAGGAAUUGAGUGUACGAAGAAUUCGUACAUAAUAUUGUUGCGUACACAAUAAUUUUUCCUCCUUUACCUGUCUGGUAUGAGGACUGUUAGAAAAAAUAUUGAUAAUUCUGUUGGCCACAACAAUGUUGCAAUAUUCGUGACAAUCGAAAGAUUUUAUGUGCACUACAUGUGCCAUAGAGGAAUUAAUUUUAAGGCACUCUCACCUUAAAAUUUGAAUGUGCCACUCAUUAUUCUUGAAUGGAUCCAGGAAUGAUGCAAAAUAUUCAACCAUUGGCUGGGUUAUUUUGGUACUUCAUGGUAUUCAUAGACACAUCUAGAAGAUGGUCUUAGGUGUGUAUCAUCCACACAAAACCAUGUGUUUACUGAAUUAAGUGCUCAAAUUGACGAAUUUGAAGCAAAUGAUUAUAUGCAUGGGAUAAUUCCAUUGGAAUGGAAAUGUCGUUGAAUUUGAUUCACGAGAAAUCCAUGGUCAUAUUUGGUACGUCGUGUACCUACCCAGAAUGGUGUGGCUAGAUCUCUUGUCAAAAAGAGUUAAGUUGUUGUGGGAAAUCACAAGGAGUUAAGAGGCAUAACGAGAAUUCCACGAAUGAUAUCGAUUCAAGAAAAUCGUAUAUUGAAAGUCUACAUAUGUCGACAUAAAUUUCUUCUUGAUAAUUGCAGAAAUCCUUUUGGGCCCUGAACCAAAAUCCAUGGAAAGUGUUGUUGACACUUAUAUUGGUUCAAAUGAAAAGAAGCAAUUAAGAAGAGUAGCACUCGCUCAUCAAAAGAGAGGUGUUUAUCAUAGUAAAACCUGCUCCUCAUAAGUAUCUUCCUCAGUGAAGAGAAGUGAUUUUUCGUUCAGAAACGAAAUAGAUGAGGUGGUGAGAAAGCGAGGCUUGUAGCACAUGGGUUUCCGCAUAGACCCAACAUCAGUUAUGAUGUAGCAUACCUUCUCGGUAUGAGUGGAAUUAUGUUUCGAUACUGAAUUGGCAGUACAAAUCCAUGUGGUUGAUGUAUGUAAAGGCUACAUACUCACAUGGAUCAUUCAGUUUGGAUAAAUAUAUAUUGAAGUCAUGAAAUGGCUUAAUAUUCCGAAUCCAAUGAUAAGUUGCAACAUGUGUGAAGCUUCAGAAGUCAUCCUAUGACUUUGAACAUGUCGGAUAGUUGUGUGGUACAACCGACUAAAUGAGUUACUCCUCGAUAAGGAUUACUCUGACACUAAUGAUUGUUGAUGUGUAUUCAUGAAGAUAUCCUUAAUUGGAUUUACAUCAUGUCAUUGAUGUGGAUGAUCUUAUUAUCAAUGUCUAUACAUGACAUAUUAGAUACACAUAAUCAUUUUGAGACGGAUAUUUGGGUCAAACCAAAUGGUGCUAAGUUUAUAGCUUGAGCACAUUCCCUAAGGAAUAAAUGUAUGUCAGUGUUCAUAUAUCUAGAAAUAUUGAAAAAGUUCAAUAUGGAUAUAUCUUAUCAAAGACACAUAUGGUCAUAUUAUACCUGGCAUGGGACACAAGCCCAUUCAAACCUAGGGGAGAUGGUAAAGUGAUAAUGGACAUGAAGUUCCGUAUCUGAGUACCAUUGGAGCACAUAUAUAAAUUGCAAAGUAAGUCAGGCCUGACACUAUAUUUGUUGGCAAUUUAUUGAGAGUGCAUCCCCAGUAAAAGGUAUAAUGGUUGGUGUAAGGAAUAUCUUGAGAUAUGUCCAAGACACAAAAGGUCUUGAUUAAUUCCAUUGAGAAAAUCAAGAUGGGACCAUGGUAUGAUAUCCUGAUAGUGGCUGAUAAUUUGAUCCCAACAAUGCCAUAUCAAAGACUGGAUUUAAUGGAAGAGUAUUUUGAGGGAAGCCUUCAAAAUAGACUCUAAAUGAGUCCUUCCUAUAAUCAUUCUGCCAUAACUAUGUUUGAAGCAUGACAAGAUAUACAUGUAUUUGCAGAAUGACUAGUCACAUGUGAGAUCAUGUGAAGAUUCAUUGGAAUCAAUUAUCAUUAUCUACCAAGAUAAUGUCACUUGUAUUUCUUAUGGGUUAUAUUUAUCCUCGCAAAUUAUAGAAAUGUAAGAGGAUAAUAUGCAAACAAAUUAUGGUGAGGUUCAUAAUGUCUCUACCAACGUUUAUAUUCCAGAAUCGCAUUCGUGGAAUUGGUAUGAGACAACAUUGAUGUUUGCGAGGGGAGUAAAAUCCCAUGUUAUAACCUUUUGGUGAUCUUCAGAUCAUUCAUAUUGUACUCUUUUUUCCUUUAUGAAUUUUCCAAGAUGGUUUCUCAUAUAAGGUUUUUAACGAGGCAAUAUAAAUACAAGUGCGGAUGUAUGCCAUAUUGGUUUCUCCUUAUAUUUUUCCCACCGGGUUUUAAAGGAGUUUUCGAUGGCAUAUUAUUAUAAGGUUUCUCCUCAUUUUUUUCCACAGGGUUUUUGGAGGAGUUUUCAGUUUGCAAUAUACAGAUGACGAAUUGAUCAAGGGGGAGUGUUGAGAAUUAAACAUGUGAUCAAUUGUAUGGGAGGGAUGCCUCCGAGGAGGUGUCUGUUGGGGAAAGGUGUCUCCCUAACACACCCCUUCAUUUUGUAUAUAAGUGGGUCUUCCACAUUGCAAUAGAACUAAUGGAUCAUUUGGACUCUUCAGUUGUCUCUUUGCAUUCAUUCUACUAGGAGAUGUGAAGUGUGCCAGAGCAUUAACGGUAGCGCAGCCCUCAGGAGGGACCAUGGAGGAAGCUAGAUAGAUGCUUGGGGGUACAUAUGUACGAGACCUCCUAUAUGCCGCUCGCUACGGCAGUUAGUCGGUCCUAGCUGGGCCAACCCAUUAGCAGCACAGAGCAGCGAGUGGGAGGAAUAGGCACUGUAGAGUCCCCCCCCCUCUAAAAAUAGGGUACCAUAGCGCCGUGGAAGGUAAUGCAGCAAACCAUCACUGUAGCAGACGUUGGAAAUCCUAUUUACUUUAUUUUGAACGAAAAUUAAGGUUUUGAACAUUUUAUUUGGAAAUUAUUUUUUUUGAAAUUUUGAACUUUUUAAAAAUCACAAACAUUUUUUAAAUACAUGAUCAAUUAUUUAAUUUUUUAAACAUUCUUUCGGGAAUUACAAGUGUUUUUAAAAUCGCAUUGAACAUAUUUUUGAAAGUGAUAUUUUUUGAAAAAUGAAAAUAAAACGAAAAAAUAAUACAAAUACUGAAAAACCAAGAAGAAAACCGGAAAACCCCGUGAAGAAAACAGAAAAGAGAACUGGUUCAGGAAAGAAGAAUGUUAAUAAUACGGAUAAACACCCGGGAUAAAUGCUUUUUUCCAGUUUAGAGUUUAGAAUUUGGUUUAGAACAUUUUUUUGCUUUAGUUUCCUAUUUUCAUUAUUUAAUUUGUAAUUUGUUUUAAAUAUUCAUGCAAUUUUAAAGUCAUGAACAUUUGUCCACAUUGGCAAACAUUUAUUAGUUUCCUUUUUUAAUUUUUUUAACAUUUUUGAAAUUUAGAAACAUUUUCAAUUAAUCGAACUUUUUUGGGUUUCAUGGCCUUAUUUAAAAUAUGUUUAAAUUGAUCGCCAUGCGCUCGCCCGCUGGCGGAUGUAGUGGACGUGGUGGGUCGCGGUCCGUGCUGAGAUUUUAUUCCAGCCCGUAUACCAUUGGAGAAUAAGAAAUGGGCUGAAGAAAACAAAUAAAAUAAAAGCCCAGCAAUCCAGUGGCCUCGCGAGAAAAAAAAAACCCCGGCGAGUCGCGAUUCACCUUUGCGGUUCUUCCCUCUUCUGAUUUUACUCGCCGCCAGCCAGCCCUGCCGCCAGCCGCCGGGCACGCCUCGCCGGCGACUCGCUGUCGCCGGAUUCCCAGAGGCCCAGGAGCCCGGGAUGGAAGCUCAGAUUAGAGAUUAAGCUCCGAUUUGCGGAUUAUAAGCAGCGCGGGACAGGGGACAAAGAUGGCUGCUGCCGGCGCGAAGGCGGUGCCGCCCACCUUGCUGUCGCUGUGCUUGCAGGCGGUCGCCGCGCAUCUCACCGCCGACGCGGCAGGCUCGGGUCGAUCCGGCGGGUGCGGUGCUCAUUUCGACGGGCUCGUCCAGGAGCUCGAGGAGGAGGAGGAGGAGGGUGGCGGCCACCUCGCGCCGGAGCAGGUCGCGGAGGCGCUGCCUUGGGAGCUUCUCCACCAGCUGGCGUCCUAUCUGCCGCCGUUCGCUCUCGAACUGCUCCAUCACGGCGCCCAUGUCCGGUACCCUACCCCUCUCCCCGUCCUUGCCUCCUCCCAUGGACCAUGGAUUGGAUGCAGUCUCUAUCUUCUUCCAUAUGUGGAGUACAGUGUAGUGUAUUCCUUCCACUCCUUUUAGUAUUUUCUUACAUUUUCAAAGAGAAAUUGGCUAAUCAUUUUGCAUUUCUGAUUGCCCAUCCUAGAUGCUGCUCUUCUGCUUCACUUACCGAUCGGUUCGGAGAGGCCGGCGGCAACAGACGUGGGACGAAACGUUCAAGGUGACGCUCAUUUGUACACUAAUGAGUCAGCUGCUGCAUUUGUUACAAGACGUCGGCCAAGAGAAUACUCCCUCCGUUCCUAAAUAUAAGUCUUUGUAGAGAUUUCACUAGUGGACUACAUACGGAUGUAUAUAGACAUACUUUAGAGUGUAUAUUCAAUCAUUUUGUUCCGUAUGUAGACAUGUAGUGAAAUCGCUUAAAAGACUUAUAUUUAGGAACGGAGGGAGUACUCUUCAAGUAUUUGACAGUGUUGAUGCUCGCAGGUGUGAAGACUUCAACACUGCAUGGCAGGCAUUGUUCGAAUUUCGCUGGCCCCUCCACGAUAACACUGGACAUGAUGACUUGGUUACUCUAGACUGGCAGCAGAAAUACUGGGAAAAGCAUCUGCAAGAGUGUGUUAUCAAACAGUUACAGAUGGGUUAAUCGUUGAUUAAUCCAGUCUGGACUGACUUUUGUCACUUCUUUUUACCCUUCCACAGGUGCCUGGAUGAAGCUGCAGAGGCCGCGUCGCUUCCUUCAUUUCGUGGGCAUAUUGGUGAGCUAAGUAUGUCAGGUGAAUAUAUAAAACCCCUUCCUCCUUCAGUAUUUGUUAUGCUUGACAUUGGUUGGUUGUUUACUCGCCAUAGUGAACAACUAUCAUACCAACAUGAGGCCUUGAGCUGAUUUGUUUCCUAGCCAAUAACAGCUUUAAGUUAUGCUUGCAGUUAGUUGUAACUGCAUUAUUGCACCUGCAGUAGCUAUUGAAAUUAUCUUCAAGUUUAACUAUAAUCUAUGCAGAUAAAACCAUGAGUUGCGUUUACCUCAGUGAGAACAUAGCUCAGCAGUAUUCGAGACUGUCAUAUCAUUGGACCAUACUUGGAUCCUAUGCAAGGUGCGAUCAUAUUUGUCAUUUGUUUGUCAUACCCAGUUCCUCUUUAACUCAUAUUUAACCUUUACAUGGAUAACUGCCUGGUGCUAGUGAUUUAUAUUCAAUUAAAGAAACCCCCACUCGUAAGUAGUUAGAGAUCGGUAAUAAUCUGGUGGGGAUCUCUAGUCAUGUUAUGCAAUGUUAGUUUUUCCAGUUUAAUUACAACAUGGACCUAGCUCAGAUCAGGUUGCUUCCAGCAUCCUUCAAGAACUAUGUAGAGAAUAGAUUUUCUUUGUUCUUACUAUAGUAAUUUUAACUUAUUUUCAGGUGCUUGAGAUUUCAAAAUGUGCUUUGCACGGCUGAAAUUUGUGUAAGUGCUCAAGCAGUACCUUUUUCCUUUAUUUUCCCACUGUCUAUGAUUAAUUAUCCACGGUCCGUAGCAUGUGUUGUUCAAUUGUGCAUGUGUUGUUUAAUUGUGUAUUUGUAUUGGGAAAAGUCAUGGAUGAAUCCAUGGGCAUAUGAACCCACUUUGGAAAACCCAUUUUUAAUUGCCCGAAAAUUAUAAAAAAAGUUCCAUGCAUACAUCUUCACAUUCUAUGUGCGCACAGAAAAUUUCGUGGAAACACAACUUUUUGUUCGGCCUGUGCAAAAAAGACAAAAAAAUAUGUCAUCUAACGCUAUUUAGGAGCACUGAAAUUUGUCUUUUUUGCAGAGGCACAACAGGAAGAGUUUCUUCCACAAAACUUUGUGUCGGGCACACAUGUUACGAAAAUGUAUGUGUGGAAUUUUGUUUCAAUUUUUUUGACAUUUUAAAACGCAUUUAAAAUGCAUUUUUAGAAAGUGGGUUCAUAUGCCAAUGGGUUCAGUAUGUCCACACUCAUCUGUAUUGCUGUUAUUUUGUUGGUAUUUUAUUAUACAUGUACCGCUCCAUCAUCCAUACAACAACAAAUGUGCACUCAAAUUCCGGAAAAGUUGUCCUUCGUGCUAUAUAUGUUUGCAUGUGUAUGGCAUGAAAAAUGUGAAUUCAUUGUGUAAAGUUCAAACUUAAGACAGUUAUGGUUGACUGCUAGAAAUCCGUUGUUUUUCAGGACAUGUUGCAACAUAGCAGGCUAGAAACUUUGGUGUUUGUAAGAAUCAUAUCAGAGCUUGAGGUAAUAUUAUGCCGGUAAGAUUAUGUUUGUUGUUGCAUACAAUAGCUUUAGGGAACAAAAAUGCAGAGCCAUGGGCUGCAACUCAGUUAAAAGUAACAUUAUGUUCCAUAGUUCAAGUUCCCGUGUCACGUAAACUAUAUAUCUUUGUACCAUAAGAGACAUAGGGAAAGUUAAUGUUGAGGCAGCGUUGUUAAGAAGCAUGCCAAAGAAGAACUGACUAGAAAAAAAAAUUAUGCAGCAGAUAAGCUACACACUUGUAGUAUCCUUUACGGCAUGAUGGCUCGUAUUGUUGCUUUGCUCUGUUUUGUCAGCUGAUACUAAGCUAAGAGUGGUCCAAUUUUUUAAGCCCCUUUUCAAUUUCCACUGACAGGUGAAUGCUGUAUGCCGGCUUCUGAGCUGCCAUGCUAGGACACUGUUAUCUCUUGAAUUUAUCCACUGCCAGCUUUAUCCUGCAGUCAUGGAUAAAGUUUGCACUAGUCUUUACCAGCCAGGAUCCCAAAACUACAAGAUCCAGUCCUUCAGUAUUAAAUCAUCUCGCAUAAGUGAAAGCAAGUCUCUAACCACCUCUGCUGGUCUAUUAAAUUUUCUGUCAUGUGCAAAGUAAGUUGCAUGUCCUCUUAUUCCACCUUCGUUUUAUUUUUGAACAGAUGUCGGGGAAUAGCCCGAGGAACCCAACCUUUUUUCCCUUUAUCAUUCUUUUUUAGCAAUUGUUGUUGCAUUAUUCUAUACAAUGGCACUCUAAUUAGAUGCUCAGUUAAUGAUUCCAUAAUAUAAAUUAGGGAGGAAAUUUUAUCCAGCCAUUUUAUGCAUUUUUCAUGAGAAUACUCUCCUAUUCUUCCCAUGUUGUAUUUGUUAGUUUAUGCUUCACAUAAAUUUUUAUUGAAGUAAAUACUCUCCCUGACACCAUGGAAAGAUUUAACACCAUUUUGAGGGUUUUGUGGAAUGGGCGCUGAUAGUUUGGCUGUUCUAGGUCCUUCUGAAAAAUCCGGAUAUGACCGUGGGUUUAACCGGAAACUGAAAAGCGGUGCCAGAUCCAGUCAUGUUGAACUUUUACAUGUUUUACAUGAAAAAAUAGUUUGCAUUAUUUUAUUCAGAGUAUCAUGACACACCCAUGGACGAUAUGGUCAUUCAUCUUAAAGCAGAGAGCAGUAGAAUAGAUUAGAAUGCAAAUAAAAAAAAGAGGCAAGAAUAAGAGUAACGAUAUGUAGAAGUGAAAAAAGAAAUCACCUAUUCAUCCUGUCAUUCAAUUUGUCCUGGUAACCUCAUGCCUGCAUCUCCAACCUAGUCCGCUAGUCGGUUGUUUGGGAUUUAAGAUUGGUAUAUGCAACAAACUGGUUAUGGUGCCUGUCUGUAAGCAUAAAUGGCAUGAUGUUGCUACUUAAUUACUGAUUGUUUGCCAAAAAGAUUGGGUGCACAUUAGCAUUGUUUUAUUCUUACUAUUGUUCAGGUCUCUGCAGUUGCUGUCAUUUAAUGAUGCUAAGAUGCAGCCAUCAUUUGCUAAGAUAAUUAUUCGUACUCUCCUUGAAGCUUCCUCCGGUUUACACACGCUUGACAUGUCAGAAAACAAUGUGGGUUCACACAAGAAUCUUUUCUUCUUUGAUAUCUGUUUCUUGGACCCAAAUAAUCUCUCUUUAUAGUUUGCAGGCUGGUUUUCUACUGCAGACAGAAGUUCUACAAGUUUAUCAUCAGCGUUGAAGUCAAACACAUCCCUGAACUCCCUGACUGUUCUUAACCUAAGGUAUUACCUGUUGCCUUUCAGCACCCGCCAAAUCGUCAUAAUUAGAAACCUUUAUUACCACUUCCUUUUCGAAGUUGGCAUGACUUGUGUAUUAACAUAUCAAUUUGUCAUGUCAGGGGAAACAAUUUGCAGGAGGGUGACAUGGAGGAUGUAUGCAAAAUUCUAGCAAAGAUGUCUAAUUUGAGAAAUUUAGAUAUAAGCGACAAUCCAAUCACUGAUGUGGGUAUCAGGUAGUCAUCAACAUUGCACAUGUAGUGUCUGCUGCUAAUUGUAGGCAGUAGAGUUAUGCUAUAUUGCUAUCUGUUUGUCUGUUUGUCUUCAGUUUUCUCUAGAUUUGCAUCAAUCAUGAAUGGAUGCAUAAUACUUCCUCCGUUCCUAAAUAUAAGUCUUUUUAGGCAUUUCACUAUGGAUUACAUACGGAUGUAUAUAGACAGACUUUAAAGUGUAGAUUCACUCAUUUUGCUCCGUAUGUAGUCCGUAGUGAAAUCUCUAAAAAGACUUGUAUUUAGGAACGGAGGGAGUAGUUCUUUAUGCCUGUGGUCAACUUCAAGACAAUUAUUCCUUGUAGACUCUGUUAUGUCCUAUCAGUAAGCACUAAGGAGUUACAUAUAAACUUGCAGAUACCUUAUGCCUUUCCUUGAAUUGGCUCUUCAAAGGGGGAAUCCACUUCAGAGAUUAAGAGCAGAGAACUGUGAUUUGUCCAGUAUCGGUGUGACUAAACUUCUUGAGUGCCUCACAUCGAUUAAUAAACCACUUGACAUGCUGUCUAUAGCAGAUAAUCAUCUUGGGAGGUAAGUCCUUUCUCCCAGUGCAGAGUUUCUGUUGUUUCUUUAGCUUGGUUCACAUUUUGGACUAUGAUGAAUUUUCAGUUCUGUGGCAGCUACAUUAGUGAAAUUCCUGGGUUCACAUGUAAGGGAGCUAAAUGUUGAAGACAUCGGCCUAGGACCAAUAGGCUUCCAAAUACUUGAGGAAGCAUUGCCAAGGAAAGUAAAUCUCUCCCACAUCAACAUUAGGUAGAAUAAACUCUGCCCGACUCACAAUGAUGAAUGCUUGACGUGCAAGUUUCCGUAGUCACUUCAAAUUUUAUUUUGCAGUAAGAACCGCGGUGGGAUGCGUACUGCAUACUUCAUUUCCAGGCUGAUACUGCAAGCACCGAACCUUGUAUCAGUCGAUGCAGGAUCUAACCUUUUACCCCCUGAAUCGCUGGAAGUGAUAUGUAAUGCAUUGAAGCAAACAACAUGUAAGAAACACGCUUCUUCGUGUUCUCCUUAACUAUGUUCAAGGCCGUCCCUAAUGGGCAUGCACCAAGGAGAAUGGUCAAUAACCAGUGGGCCUGUUGCAGGUAACUUGGCGCGACUAGACCUGAUGGGCAACCUGCAAUUGUCGAGUGCUAUCUUUCCUGCAGUCUUCGAGUUCAACAAGCACGGAAAGCCAAUCCUGCUUGUUCCGUCGGAGCAAGGUAGCUGUGCACCCUACGAUGCCGACCCGUAAGCUGUAAGUAGCACUUAUUAUACUGAGAAUUAUGAAAGGUGUCUGUUAUUUUUCCUUUGCAAGUUUGGGUGAAACCUCCUAUUUGCAUGAUCAAGGGAUGCAUGACGCUUUUUGCUGUAGAAGUUGGAGAAAGUGCACAAAGACUUUCAGUUAAUAAAGCAAAGCUACUUGGGCAACCAGGAAAAGGAGGCUUAGACGUCGAUUGGGGCAAAUAUUUAUCAUCAUUCCUUCAGCAGAUCACACGUAGAAUGAAGUGAAGUUUAAUUCGAGAACCCAACCACGAGUUGGUUCAUGAUUGGUUCUAGGGGUGCAGGACGGCGUCCCGCAAAGUCCGGCAAAAACAGCCAGCUAGUACACAGCUAGUACAAAUUAAUGUCACACAGUUUAAGACUAUCCAUAAUGGGAGUAACAUAGGUGAUAUGUCAUGUGGGGCCAGACUUAUAGGCGCAAGGGUCCUGCACCUCCCUAAUUCUGUCCUAGUUUAAUUAUAGAGUCCUAGAUUUAGGUUCAAGAGUCUGGGUCUUAAGUUGGAAAGGUUUUGUCCCGAAGAAGGUUACCCUGCCAACCCCCAAUUAGAGUUGAAAUCUGUUCGUUUUUUAAUUGGCUACUUAUAGCCACCCCUAUGCGAUCAAUAAAGGAAGGCAGAAAAUAAUCUAUCUUCUCCCCUCGUGCACCUGCACCUCGGUGCCCCUCCUCACCUCCUUUCUUAACCAUAGGUCGGUGAGGGGUUCGCCCUCGUCCUCCAACCUUCCACGACCACAACCUCCGUACCAAUCCAACCCCAGCCCGUGACAUGGUAACGUCACGAAAAUUGCUUUUGGAACUCGGCCUCCAUGGUGGCCUUUAAAUUUGAAAUCCAAAAUUCAUGAAAAUUCAUAUUUUUACAUUUCAAAAAUUCUGAAAAAAUACAGAGAUAAGUGAGGGUGUAACACACAUGUGUGUAAAUUUUUAGAAAAAAAUAUGUUGAAAUGAGGCUUGUGCAAAAAAAACAAAUCUGAAGCUUUUUAACACAUGAUACUAUUCAUCGUCUCCGGCCAUGAAUUUAUUUUUUUGUGCCGAUCGUAUUUCAAGGUAUUUCAUCCUAAAAAUUUACACACAUAUACGUAACAUCCUUCUUUACUUGCAUAUUUUUUUCAGAUUUUUUUUAAACCGAAAAGUUUAAAAUUUGAUUUUAUUCAGAAAUUUUGAGCUCCAUGGAGCUAUGGAGCUCGGCCUCCAAACGUCCGUUCUCGUAACAUCACAUAUAUCUAAAAUAGAUGGUGUGACAAGUAUGAGGAGAGAUAUACAUGUGGUAACAUACUCCCUCCUAUCCUUUUUUACUCUAGAAUUGUCCAAAGUGAAACUUCGUAAAGUUUGAACAUAUUUAUUUAUAUGAAACAAUAUCAACAUCUGCAAUGCUAAGCUUUUACAAUACAAAAAUUAAAGUCAUGACGCUUCUAAUGAUAUUAAUUUCACAUUGUAAAUAUUGGUAUUUUUUCUCUAAAGUUGGUUAAACUUAACUAGGUUUGACUUUUAGACAAAUCUUAUAUGCGAACUAAAAAGGACGGAAGGGAGUAGUAUGUUAUUCACAUUAUGAGUAACAUCACCCCAAAACAAAAUGAGUUUAUAAUCUAAUAAAUGAAGUAUUGCAUGGCACCGUACAUAUGUUACUCCCCACAAUGACUAGUCUAAUCUUUCUAUAACUGACAUUUUAGUUUUGAAUAGGAAGCGGGAUGGUUCGGACGCCCUGCAGCCCUAAUUGGUUACAUGCCUGCUGGUUUUUGCAUGAAGUUUGAUCCGAGAGGAGGCACCCAGGUGGUCCAGACUGUUGAGAACGAGUAUUUAACCAAAAACUACCACACUUCAUGAAACCAUGCCUACAAACUACCACUUUAUGAUUUUAUCCUGAAAACUACCAUUUUUUUCCUAAUAUGUGACUAAAACCUAUCAUUUUUGAGACUUGGUAGUUUUUAGUCACAGAUUAGAAAAAAAAAGAUAGUUUUCGGGACAAAAUCAUAAAGUGAUAGUUUGUAGGCAUGGUUCCAUAAAUUGUGGUAGUUUUUGGUUAAAUACUCACCUUAUUUAGCUUUUGGUCAAUCUUGGCCAUUUCAGACGUGGAGAUUUCUCUCCCUUCUGUGAUUUAAUGAUUGGGACUCUCCCUGUUUUUCCUUGCUUAAAUCAGUGAGAGGCAAAGCUCUUGCAUUUUUUCUCAAAUAAAAGAAGGAACGGGGAAGAGAUGAAGUUUGAACAUACCUGCAUGCCGUUGGCGGUGAGAUUCGCCUCAAAACAUCCAUCAAUUUGGAGGUGAUUUUUGAGAAACCCCUCAUCAAUUAGGAGAAUCACCUCAGAAUCUCUACCAAUUUGAGGCUUUUCUGAAAAAUUGUCAAGUGCUCGUGUAGAACAGGGGGACAGCUAGAAGCAAUGUUGUGCAUUGGACGUGAGGACGUGAAGCUUCUACCUUGACCCUAAAAUAUAACAAGCUGCCACCUUCUCAAACAUCACAGCUACAAGGAAUACUUCCAUAAUAUCUAACCAAUUGUGUUCCAGAAGAUGCACAACAGCCAAAAAAGAGUCAAAGCGGUUAAACUGCAAGAUAUGAGUAUUUAAUCAAAAACUAUCAUAAUUCAUGGAACCAUGCCUACAAACUAUCACUUUACAAUUUUGUUCCGAAAAAUACCAUUUUCCUAAUCUGUGACUAAAAACUAUCAUUUUUAGAUUUGGUAGUUUUUAGUUACAGAUUAGGAAAGAAAUGAUAGUUUUCGGAACAAAAUCAUAAAGUGAUAGUUUGUAGGUAUAGUUUCAUUAAUUGUGGUAGUUUUUGGUUAAAUACUCGUUGAGAACGGAAUCCUCCCGACGAAGGAAUAUUUUGGCUUUGUUUCAUGUGCAUUUCUACAACCAGUCGACCAUCUAUCUUGAGUUAGGCAGAAUAUAUCUUUGGUUCACUUUUUGUACAACAAACAAUAGAUGUAAUGUAAAGCCAAACAUAUACAACUAGUAUGAUGUUAAAAACGCUUUUAUAUUAUGGGACAGAGGGAGUUGUUUCUAGUAGAGAGGAGCAGUUCGUGCUAAUAUGAGGUGACAAAGUGGUAUUAUUCGUUGGGCUUCUUUUUUGUCACAGGUGAAUCAGAAAAUUUAAAAGAAGCCCUUGCUGGUGCUUAGCGGGGCGUUUGCCGAUUAUGAGGGUGAGGUUCUCGGGGUAAAAAUCUGGUCGAUAACUAACUUUGGGAAGGAUGUGAUUCGUUUAGUCCUAAUAGUCGUAAUUAAAUCAUUUAUUUAAUAUACUUUUUCUGUUUUAAAAUAAGUGACUUAAAAUAAGUCUUGUCACGCCGCGGCACGGACUGCAUAGUGUGGCGUCGUCUUGUGGCACCCAACCAUGGUCGGUAGUACGACCAGCCGCAUCCUGGCCACGCGGGAGGAGGUAAUGAAGUGGUUGGAGGCGUGCCGUCACUGUGCCGCCUCGCCCUGUCGCGGUCGGCUAUGGUCAGAGGUUCGGUCGCCGGCACUGCAGCCAUGUGUGUGCUGACCAGUGGUACUCGGAUCGUUGUAGCCACGUCUGGCUGAUGUGUCCCCCGUCGCGUUAGCCUGGGUGAUGUGGAAGGUGCUGACCCGCCGGCUGGCGGGUCGCCCACGAGCCGGAUAGAGGGCGGUCUCGCCCUAAGCUAGCUCGCGUUGUGUAGGCGGCCAGGGGCAACCGGUUUACGGGAGUAAGCGUCCGUCCCAUACUAUUUUGAAAAAAGAAGGGGUUGCCCGAAUGAGCCUAUCUCGGGUUUAUCCCCCUUCAAUCAUGGUAGUACAAGGAAAACUAAAAGUAAUAAAAAUUACAUCCAGAUCCGAAGACCACCUAGCAACGAUUACAAGCACUGAAGCGAGCCGAAGACGCUCCGUUGUCAUCGUCCUUCCUUCGUUAGAGCCGGACAAACGUUGUUGUAAUAGACAAUCGAAAAAUCGUCGUACUAAGAUCCCAUAUGAUCACCAACACACGAGAACAACAAACGUCACAGAUGAAAAAUAUAGAUCGAAAUUAUCCAACCUAAAAACAUACGGACAAAGACGAAGGACGAACAGAUCCGAACAAAUCCAAAUAAAACAGAUCGUGGAAAACACAAUUCCACAAACACACCGACAAACGUAGCGUUGCCGUUGCGUUUGGUCUAAACUGGAGGUACUUUUGGCUUCUCCAUCGAUCAUAGGAGCAAUUACUGGAGUGAAGCCGUUUUCUUCUUCUUCUUCUUCUUUGUUGCUGGAGUUGGAGCGAACCCGUCGACCCAGAAUAAUGAACGAGAGCACGGACAUGCCGGUGUUCGUACGUACGCACACUGCUGUUCGUCGUUAGGCACUGUAGAUCCAACUAACCAUCUCAACCGUCUAAUCACUUGAUCAACGGACUGAUUUCCCUAUUAACAAAAUCCUGGUCACUAACGAAAAGUCCCUCGUCGCUAACGAAAAAAAAUCGCCGCGAUCGGCCGCGAACUGCUCCCGCAAGCCCCCUCUGGCCCGCUCGCCCCCACCCCGCUCGUCUCGCUCGUCCCGCGCACGGCCGCCGCCGCUCCGCUCGNNNNNNNNNNNNNNNNNNNNNNNNNNNNNNNNNNNNNNNNNNNNNNNNNNNNNNNNNNNNNNNNNNNNNNNNNNNNNNNNNNNNNNNNNNNNNNNNNNNNGGGCGCGUGACCCGACGGCGACCCGGCCGGGAGCGCGCACGCGGCCGGCAUGGGCAGGUCGCGCUCGCUCGCACGGAACGGCAGGACAUAGCCCGACGCCGACGCGGCCCGGGGCCUGUGCGCAUGCGUCCGGGCAAACGCGCCUCUUGGGCGCGCGGACCGGCACCGGCGCGAGCGUGCACCCAAGGUAAGUACGUACUGCGUGACGGCAAACGGUGGCCUGUCGCUCGCACGGACAAACAGGACAUGACUCGCGGCGACGGACGGCCGUGCGUCCACCAGCUCGACGGGACGGCGGCGACAGACGGCCGUGCAUCCACCAGCUCGACGGGACGGCCAACGUAUAGCACGUACGUGCGUGCGGCGGCGUAAAUGAAUGCACGCUCGUACGUAUAGCACGUACAGUACGUAACGUACGUACGCGCGCGCGUACCGAUCGAUCUCGAUCUGGCCGCGUUGGGCGGCGGCGCAUUGAUUAACUGGGCGCGCGUGACCGUGGAUCCGUCCGUGAUCCGGUGCGGGCGGGCGUGCACGGUGCGUACCGUUGCUGGUACGCUGCCGCACCUGCCUGCACGUACAGGUCUACACUACAUGCCCUAGGCUUAGGAGCCGCGAUGCAUCGGCAUGUUCCGGUAGUCCACGUACGUAGUACCGCUCGCUCAUGCAUGUGCAGUUUGUCUCCAUGCCGAUCCACCUGCCCCCGUCCCCUGGCCGCUUGCCCCGCUACCACGGCGCCCUCAACUCACCUCCAUCCUCGGCGAGUAAAUAGCCAAAAACCAUCACAAUUAAAUUAUUUAUUGUGAAAAAUCAUCGUUUUCAUAAAAGUUUAUCAAAAAUAUUGAUUUUGAGUAAUUGUUUGCUCAAAGCAUAAAAAACGACGCUGGAUCGCAUUUUAUCAUGAAAACUGACAGUCGGGUCCAUUGUGAGUGAUGAUGCGGCAUAGAAAACUCACACCGUUUGACACGGCCGUUAAGCUCACAUAGGGCUUACCUGUCAUCCUCUCUCCUUCAUCUUCUUCUUCCUUCUUGCUCAUGUACUGCUAUCCCACCGCGCCGCGCUUCCCCUUCCUACGACUUAUCCUACUCCGGCGAGCACCGGGACGUCGAAUCCGACGCGCCAUGUCGGCUGCCGCUUCAAGUACCUCUAUGCCGAAUCGGGCGGGAGGGUCGCGGGAACCUUGAACUCAGCCUCCCCGGAGCGAGUUGGGGCUCGGGCGCGCAGGAGCUCAGGAUAUCCGGUGAGGGCACGUGGGUAGCUCGGCCUCCCAUGAGUGAUCAGGAGCGCGGGCGCGCGAGCUCCUCCUUGUCGCCCAACACGCCACUCAACUCGCCGGCUGCUGCUGCCUCCUCCACGAGUCAAGUUGGCUGCGCGUAGGAGCUCAGACUCGCUGGAGCGGGCUCGCGGGGACCUCGCUGGAGCGGACAGGGGCGCCGGCGCGCGAGCUCCUCCUCCUUGUAGCCCAGCACGGUAGCCACCUUGUCCUCCAUGGGCCCGUGCAGAGCUGCAGGGGCAGCUGACUUUGGUGAUGCUCCGACGAGUUGCGCAACGACACCACCACGUCGAACUCCUUCGUCGUGCGGAAGCUAACUGUCCUCCACCUCUCCACCCCGAUGCACUCAAGAUGCUUGAUGAAAUGCAAGAGAGAAUUAUAGGUGUUCACAUAUGUGCUCCAUUGUAACCUAACGCUUCAGUCAGAUAGUCCAACGCCCGUCUUGGCUGGCCAUUACCCCGUGCCACGUGGCCCUAACAAAUGGGUCCAUUGUCAUUUUUCAUGUCAAAAUGUCGUCAAUCAUCGUUUUCAGUGCUUUCGGUAAACAAUCAGUUAAUAUCGAUAUUUUCGGUAAACUUUCAUAAAAAUGAUGGUUUUUCACGACUCAACUGUGCUGGUUUUCAACAAUUUACUCAUCGCCGGCUCGACCCAAACCAGUCAACACGAGAAAUAUAUGGAGUGCAGACGAAGAGGGCGGUGCAAUGGCAAUGUCAGGAGGCUGAUCGAUGGAAACUGCCGGUGACCAGCAGAAACAAGAAGCCGGUUCCCGCAAAAUAAAUGACCGGGAAAGAUCCCUUUUGGACGCUGCUCCUCGUCAGGUACUGUGAUCGGGACCGCGCGCCCUCCGAUCUAUUUUUGUUUUCCUACUCUGAUCAUCUCUCUAGAUCUUUACGGCUUGCUGUUGGCGGUUUCAUGCGGUAGCUAGACUUUUAUUCCAUUCCAUUCCUUUCCUUUGGCACUGAGACGAUCCGGGGUACUCCCGUCCUCCCGUUAUUUUUUGUACGGUGGAACCCGGUUCAUUCUUGGCUCCUACGGGGAAAAAAAAGUUACUGACCUGCAUCGAUAUCGAUCGGUCGAGCCAUAGUUUUUUCACCGUGUACGGCGACGUGCCGACGUCCGCCCCGGUCUCGGCGAUGCGAUAAGCAAGAUACGUGUGUGCCGGACCGUACAUACCGUAUUGGCGCGAAAGCAUCAUGAUUACCGGUCGUGAUCAGCCCCACGAUCAAGUGUCACGCCGGGUUUGCUCACAUCCCACGUACGUGCGUACGCCUCGAUCGAGAUUGCAACGGCGAUGAACCCGGGCAUUGGCACAUGCACAUGCAUUGACGCAUGAAACACGAGACCAUCUACGGCUUAGCUAGGCCGGUCCUCUACGUUAACGUUAACGUUAACAUCAUCAUAGAUUCAUAUCUAGCCACAUGCUGCGCAACUUGGGCAGCACACGUACGUGUCGCCUCUCCAUCGGACGCACACAUCAGCCGUACGGAGCAAAACAAAACAUUGGUACUCCUACAAGAAAGAGUACGAUCACGGAUCGCUCCUGUUACCACGCACGCACGCCCGGCAAUCAAAGUGUCCAAGUAUAUAUGCCGUGCACGCGGCCAGCCAGCCAGUCACACCAAACCUCUCGCUCUCGCAUGGCGUGUGUGCAUCGCCGGUCUAUAAUAAAUUGUACGUGUAGCGUCGGUUGAUAAAUCGCGUAGCGGUGCCGACCAAGUGCAAUGUAAAAUGUGUCGAGUUAGUCGCAACAAAACAUGAUGAUUACGGUCGUGAUCAUCGGCCCAUCAUCAAGUGUGUCACUCUCGUUCGCCAUGCAUGUACGGCCUCGAGAUCGCAAACUGCGGAACACGAGUCGGCCUGGUCCUGGAAGUAGGAGUAGUACUAAUUAUAAAGAGCAUAAUUUUUUUCCCAAUCGUGCUCACAUCCCUUCUCAUUAAUCAUUUAACGGAAAUACAUCGUACGAGUUUCUCGUGAACUAUCGACCAAAUGCUAAAGAGAACAGAAAACAAGGAUAAAACUAAAAGAUAGAAAAGGAAAAAAACGUGUUGGAGCAUCGGCAGGAAACCGUUGCGAAUGUUUACAAAAGAAACAUCCAUCGUGGGACGAAAAUCUACCGACACUACCCAUCACACAACAUAAAGGAACCGUACUACCAGGAGAUCAAUCCACUCCCUAAGAGUCUAACCAUGACUGCAAAAAAGAUCACAAACACACUCAGCGGGCAUCAAACCCCCGUGAGGAUAACACGUAGCCAGACUUCAACCAACAUGAGCUCUACCAUCAUAGCCCAGCGCAGCUCUGCUCCGAAAACGAUCGGCCUAAGAUGCCGCCACCCGCGCCAUCAACUGGACUCCUGCCUGAAGCUUAGACUUGUUCCUUCCUUUCAAAUGACCUGACCAGUAUAUUACGAAAGAACAAGCAGUGAAAACGGCUUCUAAUGGACUUCUAACCACAUGCUUCUUAAAGGUAACUUUGUUACAAGUGCACCAUAUACUCCAGCAAAUAGCAGCCAAAAUCAUCAUAUAAAAUUUACCAUCCCCGGCAGGAAUCUGUAUAGCCAGGCCUAGGAUUGCCACAAGGAAUAUGGACAACAAGUUGCGCCAACAGCUACCCUGAACAUCCCCUAAACCGAACGAGCAAAAGUGCAGCCGAAAAACAGGUGCUCCGAUGUUUCAACAUUCUCACAGAAGGAACAUAAUGGAUUUUCGGGCCAGUUUCUUUUCCGCAUAUUAUCGCUAGUAAGAACAACAUUUUGCAAUAGCUGCCACAGAUUUUUUUUUAAUUUUCAGAGAAAUAUUAGCUUUCCAAACCCACUUAUAGUCAGGUCCAUUAAGGUCUUUCUCCAACCAAUUGUAAUUAAACCGAUUUAACAGAAAACAAUUUGUUAGAAUUAAAUUUUCAAACCACCUUAUCGGCAAACUAGAUAACACCAAGUUUCGAGCAUCAUUAACAAUCUCUUUCCAUCGUCGAGCCAGCUUCCCGAAUAGCGUACGUCUAAAUGAGAUGUCAUAAUUGUUACCGACAAAGGUUGCAAGAUUGCAUUUUUAAUCAUCACAUAUAUCAAAUCACAUAGGACAGUUAUCUUUUAAAGGCAUGUCAUCAAACCAAGGUUCGUGCCACAAUCUGACGAGACCCCAUCAUUCCUAGUGAUCUCUCUACCAGCCAUAUACACAUCAAUUAUAAAUAGCAUCAUAAUUAGGGCCGUAGUAGUACACUUCGUCUACAACCGACUGGUGUCGCAUCCCGGCCGUAUCCAUCAACCCAGGCCCCGUAACCCGUCAGUACCAUAUACAGUAGCAAACUGGUACGUACGAUAAACUCAUAUUACCACACAUGUCCAAGUCAGCCGUACACACGGUCACGUCACGCACAUAUAUAGCAGCACACGCGUAGUAAAUAUAAGAAUUGGGUGUGUCUAGGGCAAUCUCCACACAUGUGUAUAAUCUUCACGUAAGACCAUUGAUAUAGAACUCAGAUAUAUAAUACUUAUAUCACAUCUAGAUGUGUUUUAAUAAAGGGUGUGUCUAGGUCUCAGCCGACUGAGACUUCGCGACUGAGACUUCGCAAAAUCUCAGUCAAGUAGUAUAAUAUGAGACUGAAAAAAAAUGCAAAAUCUGCACGCGUCUAAAUGCAAAAAUCUGCACGAAUCUAAAUGCAAAAUCAACGAAUUAUAGGCCCUGUUUGGAUACUCUAACCGGGUUAGAGGUUAGAGUUAGAUUCUAACCCUCAACUAACCCUGAACUAACUCUAACCCAAGAGGUGUUUGGAUGAGAGGGUUAGAUUGGCAAUAAAUGCUUUUUCCCAAUCAUUUUACUACUUUUGUCCAUGUUCAGUGUCGGAUUUGGUGUGGCCGGUCGUUGUGUGGUUGUGGCGGAACGGCGUGGGGUGGGGUGCUGCAGACGGCGGCUGGCAACNNNNNNNNNNNNNNNNNNNNNNNNNNNNNNNNNNNNNNNNNNNNNNNNNNNNNNNNNNNNNNNNNNNNNNNNNNNNNNNNNNNNNNNNNNNNNNNNNNNNUAUAUAUAUAUAUAUAUAUAUAUAAGGUUAACUUAUCUUAUUAUGCAUAAUUAUUCAUUGCUUACGAGGCAGCACGUUAAUUCAGAUAUGCAUAAUUAUUUCUAUUUAAAUUAUAUGAAAACUAAUUCCCGAACACCAAACGAGGCAGCACGUUAAUCUCCCGAACACCUAAACCCUAAAACCCUAAAACCCAAAAAUAAUUUCAUUCAAAAAAAAAACCCAAAAAUAAGCAAAAUCUGAAACUCUUUAGUCCCGGUCCGUGUAACGAACCGGGACUAAAGGGCCCACCCCUGGGGCGCUACGUGUAACAGGGCCGGGACUAAAAGUUAGGCCUUUAGUCCCGCCCCUUUAGUCCCGGUUGUUGAACCGGGACUAAAGCCCCUUACGGACCGGGGCUAAAGGUUCCGUCCCCAUUAGUGACAUUCAUCAGAAAAUGUUAAAAUUAUACGAAUCCGUGUCGCAUCCGGUGGAACAAGUGCGGCUAGCCGUACUUAUACAAUGGUCAUGUGCCAUGCUGGACACAUUCUUUUGCAGGCCCGUGUUGUAUGUCCAUUCAGAAGACAUCAUCUCGAUACGUGGAUCAUGCUUUAUAAUGCACCCGUUUUGCUUAUCACACACACACUCCGCAUGAUCGUUUUUGCUCUUCACUCCUUCGCUUUUCCGCGACAACCCGAAGACGCACGGUUCAUUUCGAAACGUAAAUAACAAAAGAAAAAAAAACUGCCACAUGAUAGCAAAUUCAAAACAGACAAUGUAAACAAGAGCACGAAAGUUUUCUUAACCAUCCCAAGCAAAAUAAAUUAUGACACUCCCUCUAUAAGUAAAUAUAAAGAAAUGGUAUCCCUUAUUGAUUUUUUGGAAUUCCAAUUUUUUGGCAUAGUCGGCUCUUUGACGCGUUAAAAAAAAAAAAAAAAAAAAAAAAAAAAAAANNNNNNNNNNNNNNNNNNNNNNNNNNNNNNNNNNNNNNNNNNNNNNNNNNNNNNNNNNNNNNNNNNNNNNNNNNNNNNNNNNNNNNNNNNNNNNNNNNNNNNNNNNNNNNNNNNUGGCUUUUCAACCACAAAUCGUUUGCAGGCCGGACCGAACUUUCUGUCCCUGACGCGACCCCGCAUCGGCUGGGCGGCCCAAACACGGCAACAAAAACGCCGCCGCCGCCUUCCUCUUCCCCACCACCGCUCCAUCCCGUCCUCCCCCUCUCCCCGCAGCGCAGAACCCCAGCCAGCGACACGCGUUCGGAAGGAAGCAAAAGAGGAGAACUUCCCUUCCACCCCCGUCCCCUCCGGCGACCGCCGUACCCUCGCCCGCCAUGGACGCAUACUACCCGCUGCCGGCGAUGGCGCCGGACCUGCCGGUCUGGUCCCACGCCGCGCCGGCCCCGGCCCCGGCGGUCCUGCUCCCGGAGCCCCAAACCCUACCCUCCUUCUUCAUGCACCCGCCCCCGCCGCCCCCGCUACCCGCGGGCCGCGGCCGCCUCCUCCCCUGGCCGAUCGCGCACCGGCCGCCUCCCGAAUUCUUCUUCGAGAUGGACUACCGCCGGACCCACUCCCUCAUCCAGGUAAGCCCCCCCGUCACCCGCCGAUUCCUCCGGUUUCUCUGCUGACUGCUGUCCCCGGUGGUCGCCUUAGAGUAAUCCCGUGCUUUGCUUUCUUUUCCUUCGGGGGCGAUGCAGUUCUUGACGGACGAGGGGGCCAUCCCGACGCCGGAGGAGGAGGAGACGAGGGAGCUGGUCAUCCGCGAGCUCAAGAAGGUAGUACUGGGGUGGGCAUGGGGACUCUCGCUUGGAAAAAUUGGGUGUUGCGCGCGUGUCCGCCCGGCUGGAGUUCCUGAUUUUUUGUGUUUUCGAUGCUUGCUCGCGCAGAUUGUGACGGAUUGGGCCAAGGGAGUGGCCUCCGAGGAGAGGGUUCCCCCGAGGCGGGUGACGGCUACGGUCCUCACCUAUGGUUCUUACACGCUAGGGGUAAGCAAGAACGCAAGAUACUCACCAAAAAUGAUGUGGUCAUGAUUUCUCUGAAUGCUUGCGUGGUUGGCAAUAUUGGUUGCAUUAUCCCCAGUUUCAAGAUUCUAUAGAAUUCCAUGUUUGUAGUAGUAAUUUGGUUGGAUUAUCCCCCAAUUUCAGAUUUCCUUGGAAUUUCAUGUUUGUAGUAAACUGGUUGGAUCAUAACCCAAUUUGAAGUUCUAUAGAAUUCCAUGUUUGUAUUAAAAAUUGAUUGGAUUAUCCCCCAAUUUGAACAUUCUAUAGAAUUCCAUGUUUGUAGUAAAAAUUGAUUGGAUUAUCCCCCAAUUUCAGAUUUCCUUGGAAUUUUAUGUUUGUAGUAAUGCCUAGGUUUAGUGAUUCACAACUUCUGGCCAACUAAGCCGGCAUAUAUUUCAAGGAAGGUAGAUUGCAAACCUAUUAGCAAAGACAAAACAGGAGCAGAAAAUGGUCUGUUGUUUACAGUGCCUGCCCCUAUGCCCAGACCAUUCUCUGAGCGUUAAUUGCAUGUGACAUUAUAAGUUGUAUGGCUUGUCACAUGUUUGUGCACCUUCUGUUUGUUCUAGUUACCGCUUAUGAUGCAAUAAAUCAAGUGCGUUGGCUGAUCAAGUAUUUUUGUUUUUUCAAGGCUCACGGACCUGAAUCUGACAUCGAUGCACUAUGUGUUGGUCCCUGUAUCGCAAACUUGCCGGUAAGUAUUGUGGUUUGUGUUGCACCUUUCUCCACCUUUGCUUCAGGAUGCUAACGCAUGCCAUGUCAAUCUUGCAGCACCACUUUUUUGUUGUUCUGCGACAAAUUCUCAAGUGCAGGCCGGAAGUAUCAGGACUGCAGACUGUAGAAAAUGCCAAGGUUCCAUUGAUGCGAUUUAGAUUCAGCGGGAUUUCUGUUGAUCUGACAUACGCCCAGCUCCCAGUCCUUGAUGCAGUUCAGGCAAGUUUGUGCACUGACGCCCCUUCUAGAAAACUAUACCUGUAUUUAUGAAUCCUGUCUGAUCAUGCAAAAUUAUCUUAACUCAUGGAGUGGACCUGUUAGUGAGCAGCUUACCAAUAGGACGAUAUUGUUCUAGAUAGUUGAAGUGUCUCUGAUCUGCGGAGCUAAGGGUAUAACUCUGUAGUAUAAUCUAUUUAACUGCGGCACCUCAAAAUCAUCAAACAUGGCCCUGACCCUCGAAUACCUUUUUCCGGUGUCAAACAUGACUGAUUCAGAACCAAAUGAAGUUCUAGAAGUGCACAAAUACGAUCCUGACUUUCCUUGCACUCUCCAUACUAAGGACAUAUGAUAGAGCAUUCUCUUUGAUGGCCUUUGCCGUACUGUGCAAAAAGACUCGGUUAGUGACUUGGGGUUAGCAGCUAACAACUACUGUACCAGAUAUAUGACACCACAUUCAGAAGAUUAUUGGAUAACCCAUGUUGCUCAUUCUGAGCAUCAAACUUUUCUAUCUGUGUGACAAGAUCUCACUUCUUUUCCUUGACAUACAUUUAACCCCAGCCUUGCAAAAAACUAUGGGACAUCUAAUGUCAUUUGACCAUUAGUCAGGAGAAGUCCACUGUAUGUCAUCGCCUCACCCAUUUCGUAUCAGCUGUUUCUCGAAACUAGCCUGAAAAAACAUUGAUGCUCGCAAAAGAAAUGCAUUACUUGGUUCAUUUGCUCACAGCAAUAUGUGCUUGAUCAAACCAAUUCUCGUCAGGCUUCUCAUAGUAAAAGGUGUGAUCUGGCUCCAAGCCAUGCUAACUAGCAACCUGUCAAAAUUAACCAUGGCUGGCAAAUUUGCUUGUUGGUCCAUGUGUAACUAGCCCUUCCCCUUUAUUUUUUAUUUUUUUUAUUGUGGAUACUUUCCCCUUUAAAUCUUAUGGAUUUAUUGGAGAGUUGGAUCAGAUAGUGACCAAUAUUAUUGUUAUGUUCUGUCACAUGCCUACUGAAUGAGGUUUGCUAAUCCCUAGGAAUAGUGGCACAAUAUAUAAUUCUGUUUUUCUGCUUGCUGCUUGCCAAGCAGUCAGUCGAGAAGUCGGGCUGAGCAGGCCUAAAAGCCACACCACAUAUUCCCAUAUGAACACACUGACUUUUUGUUUGAUCAACACAUUUGCAAAGAAUUUACCUUGAUCAAAAGAACUCACAUCUAAAACAUCUUAUUUUGCUUGUAGUAAUGUUUCUGCAGUUUUUAUGAGUUCAGCACCCUAAAUGGUACUUACAAGAUAAAUCCAUAUAUGGGGAGUAUGAUCCCUCCAAAAUUAUAUUUAUCAUGACUGUCACAUACACACGGUACUAUGUAAAAAUGUAAGGUCUAUAUUCUGACGGGUUUACUUGCUCAUGCAGGCUAUAAAUACAUCUAGUCCUCAGUAUCUUCGGAGACUUGAUUCACGGAGUUGGAAGAGUUUAUCUGGAGUUCGUGUUAAUGAGCAGAUUGUGCAGCUAGUGCCGAAUCAAGAGGUUACAGACUAUUCUAAUUUAAUUCACCAGCACUCGGUCACAUUUUUGUCCCCUACAUAAUUGUACAUGAGCACCCAAGUAGUCAUGUUUGAAUAUACACUACUACUCAAUUCAUUUACAUGCUCUUGUAUUCAUCUAUGUCUGCACUUCCUACUUAACAUGCUCUUGUUUCCUUUGAUUUAUUUAUGUGCUUACUCUUAUCCCUGCUCUUGUUUCCAUGGAUUUACUGUGACUGUGGUAUUGCUCAUUAUUAUUUUUACACAAGAGUACUUCAAAUUGUUGUUAUUUUUUCACUUCAAAUUCUGUUUGUUAACAAUUCAUGCAGAAGUUCCAAAUUCUGUUGCGAUGCAUAAAACUAUGGGCUAGGAGGCGGGGACUUCAUUGCCAUGUAUGUGGUUUAAUGUGUGCUGCUGAUUGCUGUUCAGCUAUAUUCUGGUCUGACCGUGUCAUGUUGAAUUGUCUUAUGCCAUUUUGCAGUUGCUUGGUUCCUUUGCUGGGAUUCAUUUGGCGAUUCUUGCAGCCUAUGUUUGUCAGAGAUUUCCAAAUGCCACUGCCAAUGGUUUGUUCACCAUGUUCUUUGGCAUAUUUGCUCACUGGCCUUGGCAUAUUCCAGUAGAUCUGCAUGGUCAGCCAACUAACUGCAGGCAUUCAGAUGGGUGUUUAAUGCCCAUAGUGAUGCCUUGUACUCCGCCGGAACUCUGUGCGUCUAAUAUGACGGAAGGUACCUUCAGGAAGAUCAGAGAGGAGCUUAUGCGUGGUUAUGUUUUGACCAAGGUCAGUAAGUUUGGUAGUUUCACUUAUAGUUAUUCGUCCUGCUUUUCGAAGUCUGGUGGAGUUUGUGAAAUGCACAGAUUUUUUUAUUCUGAGGAAGUUUUGCCUAAAACUCUAUAUAUGAUAAUAUUUAGUCAUUUAUUUCAACGAUAUAGCUUUUUUUAGUAUAAUGAUGGUGGAUUGGUGAUUUGUCAACUUGCUUAUGCUUACAUAAACCUACACAUUCUGCCAUUCCUCUGCCACAAAUUCAGAUCUUCCUUGCAUGCAUGUAUUCAGCACUCUUUCCUGUUCUGAAUUUCUUUCCCAGGGACAAAUAAUCCACUGUUUCAUACCACUAUGGUUUCUGCAUCUCAACCAUUCAGAAUGCUCUAGCUUGACACAUGGACACCUAUCUCGUGUUCCUUGUUCAAUUCAAGUACUUGACUAUAUUUGCUUACUGCAUUUUGCUGUACGCCUAGCUCAUUGAUACUCGUCUCGAGUUUUAGUUCUCAAUAUCAUUUCACUGAGUAUGCAUUUUCCCCUUGUCUGUCCUCUUAACAGAACCGUACAUAAUGCAACUUAUCUUGGAAUAAUUUUGCGCUUCAGUUUUCCCUAGUACUAGACCGGUGCGCAUAUGUUUGCUUGAACACUUCGAAUUUAUUUUUGCAUCAACUCUUAACAGUUCUUUAUUGUUUGUCACAGGACCUAGGGAGCCAUGAUUUUGAGUGGGCAUGGAUUUUUGAACCCUUCCCAUAUUCAACAACAUAUGGACAAUUUCUUCGCAUUGCUCUAUGUGCUCCAACUUCUGAAGAACUGCAUGAUUGGAUUGGAUGGGUUAAAUCUCGCUUCCCUUACCUUAUUCUCAAGGUUUGUUUGCUGCAGUCGUCUUGUUUUUCCUUCAUACUCACGCAGCUCAACUAUUCAUUUAGUGCAAGGAUGUGAAAGUGUAAAUCUAAAUGGUUGUAACUUGUGCUCUGCAGCUGGAAAAUAUUGGCAUUGAGUGUGACCCCAAUUCAUCACAGGAAGUUGAUCAUACAGUCAUCAAACCCAACACUGUAUAUCACUGGGGCCUCAUCCCUCUGUCUGAUGUUUACCUUGAUCCUAGCUCUCUGAAGGAAGAUUUCAUGAAAUAUGUCAUCAAUGAUGUGUAUGGGAAGGUGAAAUGUACAGACUCAGAGCUGACAAUAUCCAUCGUCGACGCAUCAGAGCUUCCAAAAAGCAUGUCCAAUGACUCAUUUUACUCCCAGCAGCACCUGCACGAGUAUGGGGUGGGCUACCAAGCAGCAGCUGACUGUUGGAGUGCAUUUGGCUAGGAUAUUGCUGGAUCAUCUGGCACUUCUUUUGCAUCUCAUAUGCUGAUCAUCGGGCCGACACGGAAUCAUGUCUGUGGGUUUCUUGUCAUCUCCUUAUUGCCCCUAGCAAAGGGAAUCUGAAGACCAGUGUUCCAGAUGCACUAAGAUCAUGAAACUGACUUGGUUCUGCUCUGAUGGUUAUUCAAGCCCAUGUGUAAUACUGGUCAGUAUAUUGGCAUAGCGUCUGACAAAAAAAAGGAAAAAAAGUAUAUCGGUGUUGUGGCUUAUAGCAGGUAGAAUGUAAAAUGUAGGUUAUUGUUUCAAAAAAAAAAAUGUAGGUUACUGGAAACCCAUUGAAGAUGGGGAGGGAAAAAAAGAAGAAAAAAGGUAAAAUGUCUACAUGAAGGGGGUCCAAGUGCGGGUUUGUGCUGUGAAUUCUGAUGCCUGCUGGGUGCAAAUCACCCAUGGUGCCUGCAACUGCAAUGUAUAGUUGAUCUCACUAGUGUGCUGCUACAUUUUGUAAGCAGAAGAGCGCUUGCCACUGAACAAUUCUUGUGUGUAACUAAUAACUACCCUACUCGUAAGUGCCUGAUCUGAUGGGGUGGUACUGAGUAAUAAGCUGCAAGUGAAAAAAAAUUGUUGAAACUUGUAUGUGGUCUUGUUUCGCAGAGGUGGAUGAUGCUUGUUAGUAAUGUUUUUGUACGUAUUUGGUAUUGAUAAUGAUGAUGGUGAUGGUGAUGCAUGCAGUUUAGCAUGAUUGUAUUUUGUUGUUGCGUACAUGGUCCAGGGCCGGCGUUCAGGUGAGGAGAUGCAUUUGGUCCAAAGCCAUCAUGGCCUUGGCUCUGGCUCAUAGGUGUAUGUAUGCCGUCAUGGUAUACGCGUCACGCCUGAUGACCCAGCCUAGCUAUGCUCUUGGGAUCAUACUAGUCUUUGAGAUCCGAAGUUUGCGCAUCAUAGGCAUAUUAGACAGACCCCACCCUGCAAACCACGGAAAAUACGGUCGCACAACGAACUAUGUACUCUGAAUUUACUGAAUCAUGUACUACUAAAAUAUGUCUAUAUACGGAUACUACUAAAAUAUGUCUAUAUACAUCCGUAUGUAGUUCAUUAAUGAAACCUCUACUAGCAAAAGGGCUCAUGCGUUGCAACGGGAGAAAAAAAUACCACACGGCACACGCUCUUAAUUUAUAAAAAAUGUCUAUAAUUUGAGAAUUUAUAGUUACGAUACAAAUAAAGAUGGUCUUAUCCUACAAAAAUGCAGUUUAAAAUUUCACAGGUCUUCUAUUUUAACACGGCUUGCAUGUAGAUUUAAUACGUACAAAGAAUCAGUCAAGUGACCUUCAGUUUCAUCUCUAAUCCUGAUUUUGUUGACGUGUUCAUCCCCAACCCGGAUGAGUACCGAUAUGAAAGAAAGACGAAUAAUGACUUAUUUAUUAAGAUUGCAUCCUAGAUAGUAUUUUUAUUAAACGUUUAACAGAUAAAAUGAUAUCAUAUUUAAAUUCUACAUAUUUUUCUAAUCAAAUUCCAUGUAUAAUAUGUUAAAUUUGGAGUUACGGUUGAAAAGAUAUGAGUAUUUUAAAAAAUAUUUAAUAUAUACUACGAGUUUAAUGUCAUAAACAGUAAGGGCUUUUUUGUAGAAUCACCUCGGUGGGUUUUCCGACGAAAGCGAUAGCCUCUUUAUUAUUACUAGCAAAAGGGUCCGUGCGUUGCAACGGGAGAAAAAAUACCACACGCUUUUAAUCUUUUUAUAAUCAUUUUGAUUUAUUAAAAUAAUAAGCUAACUAACUAAUGUAGUCAGUCCUAUCCUAUUUUGUUGAGAAAUCAACCCAUCCAUUGUUAAUUCCACCAUGAUGAGAAAUUGAGCGGGACAAGCAAAUCAAAACAAAGAGGCUACGUGAAUUGAUCAAUGGACUGUUAUCUUAUUUCACUCAUGGGGUAGAGAAUGUGGGAUGAGAUGACAAACCGAAGGUGGUGUGCCAUUCUUUGUCUCUACAACAAUACAAUCUUACAUUCAAUACAUUCAUUCAUCAGCAAACAAAUCCUCACAAACAAAAAUUCUUGCCGAUGUUUGGCACAGGUUGGAGGCAUGGGGAGGGGAUCUCAUCAGAUGAUGAGUUCCUGCCGGAGAAGGGGAUACGAUGAGGGGGGCAAGGGUUAGGCGCCUCUAUUUGUCCAUAAGGAGUCGCCGUUGCCGCGCCAUAACCUCGGAGUUCAACGUGUGAGCCAUGGAGGCCCGCCUUCACCUGCAAGUACUUCGCUGUGUCGCGCCGCCGCCGUUGUGCAUCGAGAAGACGCAUCAUCCCCAGUCACUGUAGCUGUCGCGUUGAUUUGAUCCAGAAGCUGUGCUCGAACGCCGAAACGGGGGCACCAAGCGGGCAGAGAUACGACCGCGGAGGCGGGUGAGUUGAGAUCGGCAGCGGUGGCGGUUGAGGUCGGUCGCGGCGGCGAGUGGUGUGGCGGCGGCCUGGACACAGGCAGGGUGGCCCAGGGUCGACGGGAGGAGGCGAUGCGUACGGAUAUAAUUUUUGCAGCAAAUCAUUUUUUUCUUUUGCGUUGCAGAUAAAUAAUGAAGCGCGGGUUGAAUAACAAAAAUUACAGGGUUUUUUUUAUAAAAAUACCGCGGUGGGUUUUUCAACGGAAGCAAUAGCCGCUUCAUUAUUAUAUAUAUAUAUUAGGUAAAGAUAAAGAAUUAUAUUUAGGAACGGAGGAAAAGUACCAAGUUUGUACAUACGUAUGUUAUUAAUUUCAGUUACCAAGUCUGUAGAUAUGUUUGCCAUGGAAAAGGGAACAGCGAGAGCGAUACGGCAGAGGCGAAAGCAAAAAACUCAUCCACGUCGUAGUACUACUACUAGUCUACUAUACAUAGUCGUUGUCACAUGGUGAUGGUGGCACAGGGCCGGGCGGCCGCGCUCCGGACCACGGCGGGGUCGCGGUCACCACCGACAGCGGAGCCGAAUCAUCGGCAGCUUUUGGCGUGGCGAGUAACAUGCACGGCCAGCCACUAGCCAUUCCAUCGGUGACCCGAAGCCAUCUCACUCAGGUGCGCACAUGCGCUGAGCAGCCCAUCUCACUCACUCGCUCACGCACGCACGUCCGGCCCCGACGCGCGCCCUCGCCCGCGCCACACGAACCAGCCACGGCAGCUAGCACGCCACAUCGCUGCACAGGGGAAGCCGGCCGACGAACAGGGGCACGCGCGCGCACGCUCCCUCGGAUCGGCAUGCCAGGGCGCGGCGUGGCCGUGCCCACGACGCGUACGUGGGCGCGUGACCCGACGGCGACCCGGNNNNNNNNNNNNNNNNNNNNNNNNNNNNNNNNNNNNNNNNNNNNNNNNNNNNNNNNNNNNNNNNNNNNNNNNNNNNNNNNNNNNNNNNNNNNNNNNNNNNUUGCACGCUCCAUUGUUCCGGAGAACGGAGUUUUAUUCAUCUUGCCCAUGAGGCAUGGUUCGCACGUGUCAAGUGAAUCAAAGUCAAGUGACUCCAAAAGUCCAUCGACAUGGAGUUUCUUCAUGCGCUUUACACCAAUAUGACCUAAGCGGCAGUGCCACAAAAAUAUGGCGCUAUCAUUGUUAACUCUAACUCUUUUGGUCUCAAUGUUAUGUAUGUGUGUAUCGCUAUCAAGACUCAAUAUGAACAAUCCUCUCACAUUGGGUGCAUGACCAUAAAAGAUGUUACUCAUAGAAAUAGAACAACCAUUAUUCUCUGACUUAAAAGAGUAACCGUCUCGCAAUAAACAAGAUCCAGAUAUAAUGUUCAUGCUCAACGCAGGCACUAAAUAACAAUGAUUCAAGUUCAUAACUAAUCCUGAUGGAAACUGAAGUGAAACUGUGCCGACGGCGAUUGCAUCAACCUUGGAACCAUUUCCUACGUGCAUCGUCACUUCAUCUUUCGCCAGCCUUCGUCUAUUCCGCAGUUCCUGUUUCGAGUUGCAAAUAUGAGCAACAGAACCGGUAUCGAAUACCCAGGCACUACUACGAGAGCCGGUUAAGUACACAUCAAUAACANNNNNNNNNNGUAACAAUGAUUUAAGUUCAUCACUAAUCCCGAUGGUAGCUGAAGUGACACUGUGCCGACGGCGAUUGCAUCAACCUUGGAACCAUUUUCUACGUGCAUCGUCACUUCGUCUUUCGCCAACCUUCGUCUAUUCCGCAGUUCCUGCUUCGAGUUGCAAAUGUGAGCAACAGAACCGGUAUCAAAUACCCAGGCACUACUACGAGAGCCGGUUAAGUACACAUCAAUAACAUGUAUAUCAAAUAUACCUGAUUUUUCUUUGCCCGCCUUCUUAUUUGCCAGAUACUUGGGGCAAUUGCGCUUCCAGUGACCCAUACCCUUGCAAUAGAAGCACUCUGUUUCAGGCUUAGGUCCAGCCUUGGGUUUCUUCGGCGGAUUGGCAACAGGCUUGCCGCUCUUCUUCGAAACUAGUGGUCUUGCUCACCAUCAACACUUGAUGCUCUUUACGGAGUUCAGACUCUGCGACUUUCAGCAUCGCAAACAACUCGCCGGGAGACUUGUUCAUCCCUUGCAUGUUGUAGUUCAACACAAAGCCUUUAUAGCUUGGCGGCAGUGAUUGAAGGAUUCUGUCAGUGAUAGCCUCUUGCGGGAGUUCAAUCCCCAGCUCAGCUAGACGGUUUGAGUACUCAGACAUUUUGAGCACAUGUUCACUGNNNNNNNNNNNNNNNNNNNNNNNNNNNNNNNNNNNNNNNNNNNNNNNNNNNNNNNNNNNNNNNNNNNNNNNNNNNNNNNNNNNNNNNNNNNNNNNNNNNNCCACGGCGGAGGCGCAGGGUUCGGCGGUGGAGCUGGCGCCGGUGGCGGCGGGGGAUUCGGCGGUGGUGGGGGCGCGGGCGGCGGCGGCGGCAUCGGUGACGGGCAGUGAGGCCGGCCCGGAGAACGCGCGCAUGCACGUCGCGGGCGCUUCGGUGGGUCCAUGCAUGCAGGGAGACGUGCGUGACGCGCGCGCCAUGGGGAGCAAAGCAAUCAAUCUUGGUAGCCUACGUAUAUGCGAAUAAAUUUGUUGGGUGGUGAGCGAUGAGUACGUGACGUGACAAUGACAUUCCUUUUCCUUGUGUAUCCAUGAUAGUGUUAUUACCAUGACGCAUGUAUUAUUUUGGAAGCCAAACUAUGUUUCCAUCUGUAUCAAAGAUAUACUUAUAUAUUACUAUACAAACAGAUUUAUAUAUUGCGCACAGAAUGAUGACUUGGUUCCGUUACCGUACAAGUUUUCUUUUGUGAGUGCACGUGAAACGCACAUAUAAUCAUAAGUUUAAUAUUUUGAUUAUCCAAAUUGAUUUGUCUAUCACAAUGGUUGCCACAAUAACAUCUCAAGUUUUUAUAACAUUUGGUCUAAACUAAAAUUUAUAACAAUUUAAAAGGAAUUUUUGUUUAGCAAACGCCCUUCUUUGUGGCUAGAUGUUUUCACGUCGGCAUCUCAUUGCCUCGGAAGUGUCCCUCCCAUCAUGGAUCGUUUCUUAUGUGGCACUCCUCUUUAUGCCC
Molecule: long non-coding RNA, 45375 nt
Filed under: Hordeum vulgare
Lineage: Eukaryota; Viridiplantae; Streptophyta; Magnoliopsida; Poales; Poaceae
Description: long non-coding RNA (HVUL_LNC021620)
Source: RNAcentral